RNAcentral lists this long non-coding RNA (50021 nucleotides) under Arabidopsis lyrata. Its description in RNAcentral is "long non-coding RNA (ALYR_LNC000780)". The record is from RNAcentral. Lineage: Eukaryota; Viridiplantae; Streptophyta; Magnoliopsida; Brassicales; Brassicaceae.
UUCUUUUUUUUUUCUUUUUCUGAGUUGUCUUUUUGCUUCUUCUAUUUUUUUUUUGUCUGCUAUACUUCAGUUGAUGACAGAAGACUUGCUGCAUGAUCUUGCUCAGUAUAAAACGGAUAAAAAGUACCGUACCCAUAGAAAAGCCAUCUCAGCAGCAUCUGCUUCCCUCAUAGCAUUGUUCAGAGAGGUAGCAGAAGUAUUUGAUUUGUUAAUUGGAACAAAAUAAUCAGUGUAUGUGGUUAACCAGUAAUUACAUUAUUGUAAUUUCAGAUCAACCCUUUGCUACUAGUGAAAAAAGACCGUGGCCGUCCUGGAGGUCACAUUGCCAGACCUAAAAAGUAUGGAGAAAUCAAUGUCUUCAGUAAUGUUCCCAAUGUUGAGUUAUUGCAAGAAAGUGAUGAUGAUGAAGUGGCGUUGCCUGGGACUGAUGAUAUCGGACAGGAGCUGAUAACUGAGGACGAGGCUGAAGAAGAUUCUAAUGAUGGUGAUGAUAUGAAUAACAACACUGAAGAUGAUAGUGAUAUUGAUGACGUGGCAUUGCCUGGCAGUGAUGAUAUCGAACAGGAGCUGAUAACUGAGGACGAGGCUGAAGAAGAUUCUAAUGAUGGUGAUGAUAUGAAUAACACUGAAGAUGAUAGUGAUAUUGAUGACGUGGCGUUGCCUGGCAGUGAUGACAUCGAACAGGAGCUGAUACCUGGUGGAACUAAUGACGAGGCUGAAGAAGAUUCUAAUGAUGGUGAUGAUAUGCAUAGCACUGAAAUUGAUACUUUGGUCAGUGGGGAUGAAGAGAAUGACAGUGAUGAAGCCGAGACUGAUUGGGAAAACGAAGAAGAUGAUGGAGAAGCUUCUGUGGAGGGUAGUGGAAACAGAGAGAAAGCAGAGGGGAAGAAAAGGAAGUUAGUAGAUUUUGAUGCGAGUUUCCUCGCUGCUGAUACAAGCCUACGAGCACUAAAGAGAUGCGCAGAAGCAAAGAGGGAACAGCCAUCUUUUGCAGAAAGAGAUGGCAUACUUUCCAAUGAGGACUUCCAAAAAAUCAAAGAACUUAAGGUAUACAUACAUAUAUGCGAAAGAGACUUCCUCUGUUUGGUAAAGAAGUCCAACUUUGUUGAUGAUGUCUUGUGUCACAUGCAGGCAAAGAAGGAUGCGAAAAUUGCAUUGGCUCGAAAAGGAUUCAAAGUUCCGGAUUCUGAUAAGCUAAGUAAGAAGCUGGUCAAUCCAGCCAAACUUGAAGUAAGCUGUUACUACUAUGAGAAGCUCCAUUUGAGUCGCAAAAUGUUUUGGCGAUGUUAACUGAAUUUUCUUACUCUUUCCACAGGCUCACAUAAGGCAUAAACUAACAAAAGAAGAAAGGCUGGAGUUAGUUAAAGCGGGUAGGGAGGACCGAGGGAAAUACAAAUCCAAGACUGCCAUCAAGCAGAAGAAGGUAUCCGUUUUUGUUUCCGUUGUUACGAGAAAUGGUUAUUUACAAGCAUAGGCUGUGUGUUGUUUGAUGAUCCAAUAAUUGUGUGAAAUGAAAACGCAGACUGGAGGAUCGAGCAAUAGACAGAAGGAGCACAAGAAGAAUAUGCCUCUCGCUGCAGUAAGAUCAAAGGCUGGGAAAUCAAAGCGAGUCAAGAAAAAGAAGAAUAGCCUCAGCGGAAGCCAGUUCAGAGGAAGGAAAGCUUGGAAGUGAAAUUGAGCCAAACUCAUAUCCUUCUUUUUAUAUCUCCCUUUAUUAAAUUAUUUAACAUACUGGAAAAUUAAAUCAUUAUUACAAAACUUCCUGAUUUCUCAUAUUGGACUUGAUGAUAUGCUGUUUGAUGAACUUUACUUGUCCAUGAUAUUAUUAUCAUCACAGUUCACUUUCUCAUAUAGUGUUGUUGUGGAAUAUGGAUCAUAGAAACUUGUUUUAUUGGAUUCCAAAUAUCAAAUACAUAAUAAACAAACAACCAGAUGAAGAAGAAGCCACGAACGAUUCACUUAAAACUCUCUCUCCUCACUUCUUCUAACAAUGACCUCUGGAACGUUUCUGAUUGAGAUAGAUUAAUCCAAAUUUCACAUUUCAUCAAGUAAACAUGGAGAUGGUUGCGUAAUUUUCGAUUUGAGGCAAUCAAUAAAUUUGGCCGACAUAGUAUAUUAGGCUCGAAAUGGUACAUUGGGCCAAAGUCCAGCUCCGAAGACCAUUAACAAGAACACGUAUAAAGAAAAUGAAUCUAGGGUUUCAUCAUAUACUGGUAAUCUGAUUGCGGAAUGGGGGAUCAAGUUGACAACAAGUUCACAUGGGUGAUUAAGAAUGUCUCCUCUUUGCCGUCUGAGAAGAUAUAUUCUGAUUCAUUCGUGAUCGGUGGCUGUAGUUGGUAAGAAGAAGACAAGUUUUUUUUUUUGUUUCCCCUACAAUUUUAGGUAACGUUAUCAUUGAUUUUUGCUUGCAGGCGUCUUGUGGCGACAUAUUUCAAGAGAAAUAUAUUUAAUGAUUCUCUGUCUCUGUCUCUGUCACUGGCGGUGGCUGAUGCUGAGUAUUUGCCUUUUGGAUGGAAAAGACACGCAGAAUUUUCUUUUACUAUAGUGAAUCAAAUUUCUGAAGAAUUCUCCCAAGUGCAAGAUAUCUUUCGUGAUUUUACAGAAACACAAGAGUGGUUUGAUCACAGGACUCUUGCCUGUGGUUGUGCAUCCAGUUUUCCCCUUGCAAAACUGGAUGCCAAAUAUGGUGGAUUUAUACUGAAUGAACAAGUCAAGAUUGUUGCAGAGGUGAAAGUUCUUGUAGCUAUUGGCAAGUCUGAUGAGGCAGACAAACCUCUGAAAAAGAUCAAGAUUGAGUAUUAUGAUUUCCUCAGCGACACUCCACCAGUAGUGGAAGAACCCACUAUUGUCUACGGGUUUCCAGUUGUUUCUCCAGAGGUGGAAUUAGUGAGCCGCAUUUUUGAAAAUCACCCGGACGUUGCAUCAGGGUUAAGAAAGGACAUGAGCCCAUAUACGAAGAGAGCACACAUGUAUUCCCUAAUCUGCGUGAUUGAGACUCUGAACAAGCCACUUCAAGAAAUCUCAAGGUCUUAUUUGGUUGAUGCACGUGAUAGACUGGUGUUCCUCAGAAGCGCUGGACUUCUGUUGGAUUGGGUGGAGAAGAAGCUGGAUGAGGUGACCGAGAAGAUGGACAAAGAGGAACAAGGACAAGGAGAUAUUUGAAGGCAACACUGUUGGCAGCCAGACUGAUGCUUCUGUCUUCUCCGUUUCAAACUCUUAUUCUCUUUUUCUUUCUAGUUUCAUUUUGAAUGUGCUUGGUUUUACUUUAUUUACAAAACACACUCUGCUUUUGAAAAUCGGACACUUUUGGUUUGAUGACUAUCUCUAGGUUUUCUCUAUUGCACAGUGUGUUUCUUUACGGAAAAGUAAACAGUCGUUGAUCGGGAGAUUUAUUCGAAUUUCGAAGCCGAUUGCGACACUAUUUUCACCAUGAACUCCACCUCUUCCUCUCUGAUAUUCCUAUAAGAUUGAACCUUUUUAAGGCUAAAAAGCUCGAUAACAGCGAGCUUUCCCAUUUCUCGCCAAUGCUCGCCGUACUGCGAGAAACUGAUGUCUUCCCAGGGCCGGCGCAGAGGGCAAGCCACCGAAGCCACCGAUUAGAGCCUCAAAAUUUGAAGGCUUUUUUACCUAAAAAUUUGUUAAGUUUUCUUAUAUACAAUAAUUUUUGUAGGGCCUUUUAAAAAUAUUGUGCGCUUUUAGAGACAACUAAAACAUUCUUUUUAAUGGUAAAAAUCUAAUUUAAAAUAAUUUUUUUCAUGGGCUUUGAUUUGCUUAGGACACCCAAAUUCACCGGGCCGGUACUGUGUCUUCCGUAGGAGAGUUUACCCGUGCCGACCGUUCUUGGUCGGCUGCAACAUCCAAGGUCAUGGGUUUUGAGAUCUUCUUCAGCUGCUUCACUCGAGGAGAUCACAACCAUUGGAACAAACCCGCGAUGAAGAAGUACCACGGGUCCGUAUUUGAUGGAGAGAUGAUGAAAGCAUCGGUGAGGUAAUCCUGCGAAAUUGGUGUAAGUUUCCGAUGAUCGGGAGACUUGGAUGGCACGGAGGAAGAUUCCAUUUAGGGUUUCUCUUACCUUUGUCAUGAAAAAGAUUAAUGACACAAAAGUAAGAAGCAAUAAACCCCAUAAAACGCAGAGAAAGAAAGCCAUUUUCUUUUCUCUUCCUCUUUUUUUUUUUUUAGAGAUGAGAUUAGUUUAGUCUUGUAUAUAAGAUAAGUGAAAGAAGUUGUUGAUGUUAACUUUGUAAAUCAAGUGGCUGAGACAAAAGUUACAAUUUUGGUCGGUUUGAAUAUAUAGUAGGAAGCAAUAGGAAUGUGUCCAAACGAAAUAGAGACUCAUCCAUCUUAAAAUUUUCGCCGACUUUGUUUGUGUGGUGGUAGCAUAAAUGAGGAGAUAAAGAGUACGAGGAGGAGAAUUCUGGAGUGUAUAAGUUCCAUCAAAAACUAGUUUGAUAAAUUUUUAUUUCUGUUUGAAUUUGUUUAUUUUUUCCUAUAAGAAGAAAAAAUUCUCUUGAAAUCAUAAUUUUAUUUUAUUUUUAUUUUAAAGAAUUUUACAUAAAUAUCUUCGCUAUAUAUAAAAAAAAUUUGAUUGCGUCUCCAUUGAUGUUAAAUUGUCAAAAAGAUGGCUAUUAGUAUGUUUAUAAAAACAUAUUUAUGGUUAAAAACUUAAAAUAUGCAUAUGCAUCUACAUCAACAUUUUUUUUUUGAUCAUCUGAAAUUAUAUUAGAAUUUUCCAAACAUUUUUUUUGAUCAUCUGAAAUCUACAUCAACAUAUGACCACUCUUUUCUUUCAAACAUAACAAAUUAACACAUUAGUUGAAUAAAUGUUAAAAACAGUUAAAAAUUAUGUUUGUCUGUUUAACCUGUGAUUAGAUCUUAAAUGAUUGAACGAUUCCUUUUUUUCUUUAGUCAGUAAUUUGUGUUAGUUAUGGUUGAAGUGUUUGAUGAUCUAAAUGAUUAAUUAGAGUACCCAGCCCUUUAGAGCAAGUCCAAUGGUGUUUCUUAGUGAAGUUAUUAAGAAAUCCUUAGCUUAAAAAAUCAUUAAAAUUAAUGAAAACAAGAUAUUAGAGUUUCUUAGCUUAAGAAUUGUUUCUGUUUUAGGAUUUGUUAAGGACUCAUGUUGUGAUGCCUUGUGAUUGGGUGAGGAAAAAAUAUAGAAGCCAAAAAUAAAUUUAUCUCUUGUUUUUUUUAUUCUGCGACACUUAUUUUUCUGUCUUGCAAAAAUUUAUCUUUUUUUUUUUUUGUUUAAAUGCUAAAGUCUUGUUUUGUGAAUGGGGUUUUACUAAGACUCAGAUUCAUAUAUGGCAUAAAUUUGGCACGAAUUAAGCUAAAGACUAAUCGUUAUUCCGGUUUUUUAUUUAUAUUUUUUAAUAUGCUUUUCUGUUUUGUAUGUUUAAAAUUUAAGAAAAUUGUAAUAAUUAUUAAGUUUUAUCAAAUAAAAAAGUUUAUAAUUUUCAUUUUAAAAAUAAUUUUUUUUUUAAGAAACGUAUUUAAGGACUCUACCAUUGGACAAUGAAAAUUUUAAAGAUUCAACACAAACUCUUAAUUUUGAAAUUAUCACAAUUUAUAAUAAAAAAAUGUUUAAGAGUCCUUUUAAAGACUUUACCAUUGGACUUGCUCUUACAUAAUAUCAGAAUUAAAUUAGUUUUAAGUAUUGGAUUUUGAUCGCCACUUGGCCCACUUCAAAAAAUAAUUGUGUUAUAAUCUUUUACGACAAUACCAAGUGAAAUCAGUUGUGAAAGAAAAAAAAGCUAAUAAUGUUAAAACCGUGAAGAUUACCAGUAAAAUAGUUAGUUAAUCAUAUCUGGUUUCACUGAUUUUUAUUAUAAUUCAUUACUUUGCCUUUUUAAAAUUAAAAACGAAAAAAACAGUAAUGAGUUUUGGAUAAGGUUGAAGGGGUUUCUGGUGUUAUAACGUCCACCCAACUUUCGGUACAUCGCCAGCAUCGGAUUUAGCGGACCCCGAAACGUCCGGCUAAAGUCCAAUCCAUUAUCGCCACGUCAUCAAAUAACGUGUUAAACCGUCAAAAGUCGCCGUUACCGUCCUUCCCUCGGAUACUAAUUUUAGUACACAAAGAGAGAGAGACUUAAAAUUACUGUCAGUCAUACGUAUAUAUAUACGUAUUCGUAUAUCACGAUUAUUUUUCUUUUUUUAAUAAUAAAAAACUAUCUUUCUUUUUUAUCUUCUUCUUCUCCGAUCGGUGGAGUCUUGUCUCUCUAUCUUUAUAUUACUUGUUAACCUGCGCUUGCUUAUUGGAGCUCUUAACCUACGCGGAUUCUCCGAUUUAUGACAGCUGAACUCGAUUUGGUGGAUAAACAAGAGAGAUCGAGGUCCAAGAGGCCAAGGCUAGAAGAAUUCUACCGGAACAAAUGGAGGUUCUGGUAGGUUCUACGUUUAGGGAUCGGAGCAGCGUCACGGCGCAGGAUCAGGGUGUACCGGCGGCUCUGUCUAACCGGAUUGGUUUAAGGAGAUGUGGUAGAUCUCCGCCGGAGAGUUCGUCGUCUGUUGGAGAAAGCAGCGAAAACGAGGAAGAAGAAGACGACGCCGUUUCAUCAUCACAAGGAAGAUGGCUUAAUUCGUUUAGUUCAUCUUUGGAAGAUUCUCUUCCGAUUAAGUACGUUUCUUUAUUAAUUAUCUUCUAAAUAAUCAAAUUAUUCUUUAUUUACACCUGAAUAUAUUCGAUUUAAACCUCAACAAAAAAAAAAAAAAAAAAAAAACUAUUAAACCUUUUUUUAUUACAUGAAUAAAGUAAAUCACUAGAUUCUCUAUGUUCUUGUGUUUGAUUUUAUUGUUUGAUGAACCUGUAAGAUGUUGAAAUUGUUUCUCAGUUUAAAUGUUAUUACAUGUUGAGUGUUGGUUUAGUCAUUGUGGUUAGGUUUUGUUUUUUUUUUUGUUACAGGAGAGGAUUAUCAAACCAUUACAUAGGGAAAUCGAAAUCGUUUGGGAAUUUAAUGGAAGCGAGCAACGCAAAGGAUUUGGUGAAAGUGGAAAGUCCAUUGAACAAGAGAAGGAGAUUGCUUAUUGCUAAUAAGCUAAGAAGAAGAUCAUCCUUGUCUUCUUUCAGCAUCUACACCAAGAUUAACCCUAAUUCCAUGCCUUUACUUGCAUUGCAAGAAUCUGACCAAGAAGAUCACAAACUCAAUGAUGAUGAAACUAGUAAGCUGAAAGAGAAGAGGAUGAAGAUGACGAACCAUAGAGAUUUUAUGGUUCCUCAGACUAAGAGCUGUUUUAGCUUAACUAGUUUUCAAGAUGAUGAUCGAUGAUCAUUUUUGUUUCUCUUCUUCUUUUGUCAAGAGUAGAUAAAGUUUCGUUGACAAUAAGUUGGAGGAAGAUUUGACAGAAACCAAUUUAUGUUUAAUUGUAAUAAAUUAAUUUGACUGUUUGUAUAUUUUGGUAAUUCUCAACGAAGUAGACUUUUUUUUUUUUUUUUUAUCACACUUCUUGUCAACCUUGACAUUCGUUAAGCCCAUGAAAUUGGUUCUAUAAAAAAACUUAAGUCCACAUGACUAAGUCGUGAAUUUUGACGGCCUAGUCGUAAGUUCAAUAGAGGCUGCGUAGUCACUAGGAACAUGUUUAGGGUCGUUUUUCCCAAGUACAUAUUUUUUCUCUACCAAGUUGAAUUUAUUUAUGUACGAUUCAUCUUAGAUAUAGAAUUUGGAUAGAAGUUGAAUAUGUGUCUCACUGAGACGACCCACUGUCGAAAUACAAUAAUAUGUACACAUUAAAAAAAAAAAAUUGCCUACAAAGUAAUUAGAAAACAUAAAACUGAGAGUUUUGUUUUUGUUAAGUAUACUUUUUUCUUUCAAUUUACGUAAUAGCAUAGGAGAAACUGAUCUUUUCAAAUUUCGUAGGUACUUCAGAAAUGUGUCUAUGAAAUCGAUCAUAUCAAUUUUUAAAAAUUUAAGAAUGAUCAAUGAUGUCUAAAUGAUAUUUUAAUACUUCACAAUAAACUUAUGGUUCUAUAGUAUAUUUUUAGAAAACAAAACCAAGAGGUUAUAUUCUUAUCCAAUAUCUUCACAUUUUCAACUCUUCAACAAUUUCGCUUUCAGUAUUAUUGUGUAACCCAAUGCUUAUUUAUACUCAACUUACAUUUUUUAAUUCCAAAACCAGUAGUCCACCUACUAACAUCACGUUUUAAAAACAAGGCAAAAUUCUGCACCUGUCAAAAAAAACAAAACAAACCAACCAAUAAAACUUUUUGUCUUGCUAUAUAAACCACAGCAUCACUUAUGCAAAGUAGAAAAUAUCCGAAAACAAGUCUUAAGUAAGUCAAACAAAGAAAAAAAUGGAUCUCUUCUUGAUUAUAGCCGCUUUGGUAGCGGCUGCAGCCUUCUUUUUCCUCCGUAGCACGACCAAGAAAUCUCUCCGGCUACCUCCGGGACCAAAAGGUCUUCCUAUUAUAGGAAACCUUCACCAGAUGGAGAAAUUCAAUCCACAACACUUCCUUUUCCGUCUCUCCAAGCUAUACGGCCCGAUUUUCACGAUGAAAAUCGGAGGCCGUCGCCUAGCGGUGAUCUCCUCGGCCGAGCUAGCCAAGGAGCUACUCAAGACUCAAGACCUCAACUUCACCGCUCGUCCUCUCUUGAAAGGGCAACAAACGAUGUCGUAUCAAGGCCGUGAGCUUGGUUUCGGACAGUACACCGCCUACUACCGUGAGAUGAGGAAGAUGUGUAUGGUGAACCUCUUCAGCCCAAACCGUGUCGCAAGUUUCAGACCGGUUAGAGAAGAAGAGUGUCAACGGAUGAUGGACAAGAUCUACAAAGCCGCUGAUCAAUCAGGCACCGUUGAUCUAAGUGAGCUUCUCUUGUCUUUCACCAACUGUGUCGUAUGUAGACAAGCUUUUGGGAAACGGUACAAUGAGUACGGUACAGAGAUGAAGAGAUUCAUAGACAUCUUGUACGAGACGCAAGCACUUUUGGGCACUCUGUUUUUCUCCGACCUCUUUCCUUAUUUUGGAUUCCUUGACAACCUCACUGGUCUUAGUGCGCGUCUCAAGAAAGCUUUUAAGGAGCUUGACACUUACCUUCAAGAACUUCUAGACGAGACUCUUGACCCUAACCGCCCUAAACAAGAAACAGAGAGUUUCAUUGAUCUAUUGAUGCAGAUCUACAAAGACCAACCUUUCUCCAUCAAAUUUACUCACGAAAAUGUCAAGGCCAUGAUAUUGGUUCGUAACUCUAUCUAACCCUUAUUGCAAUUCUCUAAGUUAGUUAAAUCUCAAUAUUAUUAUUAUUAACUCGGUUUGUUUCUAAUUUUAUCAGGAUAUUGUUGUGCCGGGAACUGACACGGCGGCUGCGGUGGUGGUAUGGGCCAUGACUUACCUUAUAAAGUACCCUGAAGCGAUGAAGAAAGCUCAAGACGAAGUGAGGAAUGUGAUAGGCGACAAAGGAUAUGUCUCUGAAGAAGACAUACCUAAUCUCCCUUACCUCAAGGCAGUCAUCAAGGAGUCUCUUCGGCUCGAACCAGUCAUCCCCAUUCUUCUACACAGAGAAACUAUCGCAGACGCAAAGAUCGGUGGCUAUGAUAUCCCGGCCAAGACCAUCAUUCAGGUGAACGCGUGGGCGGUUUCUCGUGACACAGCCGCGUGGGGAGACAACCCUAAUGAGUUCAUUCCAGAGAGGUUCAUGAAGGAGCACAAAGGAGUGGACUUCAAGGGCCAAGAUUUUGAGCUCCUACCUUUCGGGUCGGGCCGGAGAAUGUGCCCGGCCAUGCAUCUUGGGAUCGCAAUGGUAGAGAUACCUUUCGCUAACCUUCUCUACAAAUUUGACUGGAGUCUACCUAAAGGGAUUAAACCAGAGGAUAUAAAGAUGGACGUCAUGACUGGACUCGCUAUGCACAAGAAAGAACACCUCGUCCUUGCACCAACGAAACACAUCUGAUGCUAUAUAUAUCAUUAGGACGUUUCUGCUGGUAGAUAUGGCGUGAUCAAUGGUUGUUUUUCAUUGCAAUAUUUUCGUUUUAAUGAGUACUCUGUUGGUGUUAAAUUUUUUUUAAAAAAAUAUGAGUACUCUGUUUUUUUGGGUCUGUUCUCAUUUUUUAACCAAUAAUGUAUUGAUGUGCUUCUUUUUUUUUAAGUCUAGAAAACAAAGUAUUUCCACUGGUUUAAAAUAUUUCUUGAUAUCUUAUCUACGAUGUCGAUAACAUAUGAUUAGAUUACAUGCUGCUAAAAAACAAUAAUAUGAAAUCGAAAGGAAGUUUCGUUGACAACGAUAAGUAGUGGAAGAUUUGACUUUGGACAACAUGUUGCCAAAAGAUUAGGACUAUCUUUAGAAUACUAAGUUUAUCAUUCUGAAAAAUUGAAAAGCAAUCCUAGAAUUCAAGUUGUAUGACUUUAUUCCUUGUUUUCUCAUUUUUGCAGACGAUCAAAAAACUCAAAAAAGCAUAUGAAAGAAAAGAGAAAUACGCUUUUGACUUAUAAAAACAGAGAACAACGAAAGGCCAGAAAAGCAAAGAAGAGUAGAGAUCAAUCUGAAAUGACGCGAUUCUAAAUUGGAGCAAACCCAUGCUUUGAAAUCUACUAUAUCAUAAAGCAUUUCAAGAAAAUCACGGCUUAAUCUCCUCAACAAACGACUUUAUAGAAGAAGAAGAAAGCAUUACCAAUAAAACAAAAUCGUCUAGUAGUGUAAAUAAAGCACAGCCGUAUGAGGAAGAAUCCAUCGGUGCCAUACCGGAAAAUAUACCGGUUAAGGAAGAAUGAUAACAAAUUGAAAUGACUCUUUACAUAUCCUCAACCGCCUCCUCUCUCCUUGUAGUAAACAGAUUCAACCAACAAAAAAUUGCUCAAGAGAGAAACGUACGUAGUCUAAACCUGUUACCUUGCACGCCACCAUUCCAUGCCUGUGAGAAAUCAUCGGUAUGGUACCGGAAAUUAGACCAUUUAAGGUUUAAGGAUUCAAACAUUUAUGGAUUGGAUUGAGAAAUAGAAUACGUUUUGAGAAGAUUAGCUAACCUCAGCUACUACCCUUUUGUUUGAGGGUGAUUUUGUCCCCAAGACUUAGAGCAAUCCCUUGCGUCUUGCUCCUUAUCCUUAUGUAGCCACUCAAUGCUCCAUCGGUUUGCUUCUCAAUACUCACAUUCACAAGAGCAUCUUCACCAAACACACUUUUUGCAUAUAAGUUUGCUGCAAGGAAUCCACAUUCACCUUCUAUUGCGGAUCUGCAAAUAGGGAAGCAUUGAUUAGUAAGAAGAGUUUUUAGUUUCUAUCUGAUGAAAGAAGAAUUUGAACUUACGGGGCAGUGAGACAUUUCAUGUUUGUGGAUUUGAUAAUGUGGUCGAGGAAUUCUCUUUCGUUUUGAAUUGUGGUGUUCACAGCAACCUGACAUGAAGAAUACAACAGGGAAUGGUUAUACCAAACUCGAACAAACAAACAAAAAAAGAAGCUACAACUAUAAAAGGUUUCGGUAAAUUACCUUGUUUUCCCAUUCAAACUCUGCCCACAUAGUUCUGAAAGCAACCUCUGAGCACACAGCAGGGGAGAUAUAGUCCAUGAUAUCAAUGUGUAUGUCGUUAAGAACCACGACGUUUCGCUCCAUUACAUUUGAUGUCUCAUAGACGAUGUUCCCAAAUAUGACUCCCGUCUCUGUGGACGAGACCUUGAUGUUUGCUUUUAUCUGCAUGCUUCUUUCAGGUGCCAGACUAUAGUUCUGAGGACGCUCAACAAGUUUGAGAUCACCCAUGGUUGCUAACUCCAAGCACAGAUUCUGAAGGGUUUCCUUGGUACGGUUGAUUACUGUAACUUCGAGCGCAAUAUCAUAAUGGUGUACCGUCACAUAUGCUUCAGCAUAGACUGGGUCACUGAAUCCCGUGAGCUGAAGAAUGCGGUUAAGUUUGUUAGCAUCGUUCUCGUCCUUGGUGAAUUCUCCAGUUGCACGCUUUAGGUCAUCUUGUACCUGGUCUUCCAACUCAAGUUGACUCAUUCCCUGAAAGAAACUUAUCAUCAGUACUUUCAACUACAGCGAAAUAAAUAAACAUAGCAUGCCACUAUCAACUUCCAUUGUCUUUCUUUGAAACUGAGAAUAUGAAAAAAUAUCGGAUAUGAACUGUAAGAUAAAGUAGACACCAACGAUAUCAGAACUAAACAGAUUGCCAAGGAAAACUCGUAAGGAAAAAAAAACACAAUAAAGCAAGGGCAAGCUUAGAAAGUAAUAUUACCUUCCGACUCUUUAGAUGGAAGAAGUCAAUUAGAUCAUCAGGUUGAGCAUGAGUUGUUUGGGUCUUUGCCUUUAGUUCCUCCAUCUCUCUAAGCUGUUUUUCAGAAAUCAUCUUGACAAAACUCUGGCGACAGUAUUCCAACCAUAUCUUUUUCAUCUCAUCAUUCCUAUGGCAAAGCAAUUUUAUGCACAACACAAUCCUCUCAUACGAAUCAUUAUCAAUAGGGUGUGGAGAAACAGGAGAUUGCCCAAGUUGCAACAUAGAAACCAUAAUCAGCAAAGCCUGUGUGACUGUCUUGUUUACUUCAGUUUUAGAAGACUGAACCUCUUCCAACCUAAGAACAAGUUUAGUCAACGUGCAAGCAACCACUGCUCCAAGGAAAAAAUCACCAGUUAGAAGCAGUGCUCUCAAAUUUCCAGAAGUCAGUGAUCCUUGAACAACUGUAGGUGAGGAGAAUGUGGUUCAGAGGCUGCGCUUUGGGUAGCAUAAGUUCCAUCAGCAAGAAUCACUGGCUUUCUAGAGGACACCAUGGCAGAAGAGGUAGGCUGAAUCUUCUUCGAUGUCUCAGUUGGCUCAGACUCCUCAGAAACAGAGUAAAAUGGUAAAUCGCCAAGGCAUUGUUUAAUGGUUGAAAUGCCACUCUCAACUUCUGAAAGUGAUAGGCAAUACUCCCCAAUAAUCCAAAGUGCACAAGGGCAGACCUUUCCUGCGCGGAUCUGAUAGAACGUGUCCAACAACCUGGUUAUGAUUGAAACUCUUAACUUCGGAUUUGUUUCUAUUAUCUCUCUAACAAAAACAACCACGUCAAGAGCUGAAGCCACAUUGCUAUCUCCCAAGAAAUCCAUUAGAAGAUGGACUACUGUACUUGCAACUUCGGGGAACUUCACUGCACAAGCAUGGAUUGCUUGAAUAAGCAUUUGUCUGUACUCCCCAUUCUUCUCAAGUUCUCCACUCUGUGUCUUCACAACUUCUUUCUUCAACAUUUGAACGACCUCAUUAAUAUUAUGAUGGGUAAUCAAGUCAAGGGCAAUGUCAAGUGUCUUCCUGCGGAUAUCAAGGUUUGGGCUUGAGAGUGCUCUGAGCACAUCUAUUAUCAACUCAACCAUGAUAUCUCUGUGCAAUGUCUUAAGCUCAUACAACCGAUCAAGCAAUAUUAGCUUCACAUUGUUGUCACUCUGAGAAAGAAGAAGUUGGCAGUAGGUGUUGGCAGCAGCCCUAAUAGCAGUCGGGGCAGAAGAGAGAGAAACAAGUGUCCCAGCACAUUCAUAGAUAACUGCAGAAGAAGUAGCACUUAACAGAGAAAUAAUAAUCUUAAUAUAUUUCCCCUUCUCUGUUGGUUUAGUCUUACACACACUUCGAAUCAACUCCAGCACCACCAUCUGAAGUGAUUCAUUCCAGUCUGAAACCUUGUCAACAUUGCUCAGAAGAUAAUUCACUGCUCGUUCUUCGGCACAGGUAAAGAGCAUUAGAAAUGCAUUUCUCUUGGCAGACGGAUCUUGUUCUGUUGAUAGAACUUUCUCGAUCAUUUCAGGUGCAUCCACAAAGAGUUGGUCUCCUUGUGGAAGCUUAUAUAUCGACAUGAUAGCUAGGAUUGCAUUCCUACGUACAAACGGAUGGCGAUGCUCCAGAUUUUGCAACACUGAUGGAGUCAACGGUUCUACUAUUUCAGUCUCCUUCAACCGGCAGAGAAACCUCAGUGUCACACCACGGAUGUACUCAUUCGAAUGCUGAAGGUUAUUCCGAAGAUUCUGGCAUAUCAAAAUCAUUUCAGGUAACACCUUCCCCUUAGAAUCGGUUUUUUCAAUCAGCUCCAGGUAUAGCAACAGAAGCUUUUGGAUUGUGUGGUCCUCAGAAGGCAGCACAUAUCUUAUAAUGGUUAUGAAAAGCUGAGGAAUGGUUUCACCAUUCAACAAAAGCAUAACCGCCUUCUUCAUGGCAUCAAUUUUAGCUUCAACAUCAUUUCCUUCGAGAGCUUCUUUAAUCUCAUUGGCCACUGCAGGAGUCCCUUUGUCAUAGUGCACAAGCAAGGUACUAGAUUUGUCCAUCUUUUCCGGUGCUGCAGCUGCAAAAAAAGUGAAAGAGAAACCGAAAAAAAAAAAAAACUUGUGAGCCCAAAUGAAAAGGAAAAUAGUGCAGGAACAAGUGGUACCAAUGUAGCAUAAGAAAGAUAGAAAGUGAAUAUAGAGAAUAGGAACCCAAACUCCAUACAAUUGAUUAAAGACAAAAUGAGGUAUAUAUAGAUCACAAGUAACAAACAAGAUAUCCAAAAUGUUAAUAUUUCUUGCGAUUUCAAGUUUGAAUUACUGAGUAUAAGCACCUUACUAGUGUCCUCAUCACUGCUCGAGUAAGUUCUAUACAAGAAGUUUAUGAGUAUCCUCCUCAGCAAUAAUCUACACCUCUCUACUUAUAUAUCUAUACAACGAAUGAAGCAUCUCUUUUCUCUCGAAUCCAUGGUUUAUGAGAAAGCAUCAUAAUCGCAGAAGAAUAUUCGGUAAUGUUCAAUCAAGGACCGAAAGAUGCAAAACAUUGACAAAUCUAAAUCAUCAGAUCCAGCGAUACACAUCACUUUACCAAAACAUUAACAUAAAAUCGAAUAAUAAAAACAGCUUCCGAUCAACUAAAAUUCAAAAAACAUCCCCAGAUUUGAUGAACAAACAAUGGAAUCUACAUAGUUCGCAGUCUCACUAAGCUGCACAAACAUGAGAAUCAGUUUCCUACCGGGAUCGGAUCAAUCUUUAAGGAGAUCGAACAAAGAACGUCCGAGAAUAUCGAACAUUGUAGAGUUUUCACAAAGGAAAAAGGUAAAAGGGGGAUCGAUCUCUAUGAAAUCUGAGUCGCAAGUUAAACAGAGAGAGAGACGAACCUCAAGGUACGAGAUCCAGAGAGAGAGAGGAGGAGAUCCACGGAGUUACGAAGCUUUUGGAUCCAAGAGAAGAUUUUGGAUCUCGGAAAACAAAAACACUCCCACAAAGUGAGAGAUAAAAAAUGAGCUUAUUAUCGUGGAUUCGUCUUCUGAAUUUACUCCUCCAAAUCCGUUUUUUUUUGGAAAACGAAGAACGGAAAAAAGCGAGUCAGCCUCAAAGGCCCAAAUAAUUGAUUGAUGGCAAGCCCAGCCCAAUAGAUGUUGAGAAAACAUAGCCCCUUAUGUUUUUAAUUGUUUCCAAAAUGACCCCAAACUUCAUAAAGUGAGCUUCAUUAGGAUUGAGGAAUCUUAGGACACUUUGGUCAGAGUUUAUUACCUAACCAACAAACGGUAGUCAACUAAAUUGAUAUUCUUUUGGUCUAUUUGAUGUUCUACAUAAUAUAAAUUUAGUUAACCAACGGUAAGCUCAACAACUAGAAGCCUCACAAUAUUUAAAACAAGGCAUCCCAAAUUUGUAUCACGUUCUCUAGCACACCAUCUGAUACGCCUCAUAAAUCUGCAUAGUAAGCAUGUUAAUAUGUUAUAAUUAAACAACUAUUUUAAAAGUGGUCAAAAUAUAUAUAACUUAAUUAGGUUUUAUGAAUGAGUUUGUAUAAGUAUGUUUUAUGCUUGGGAUGCUUGCUCGUUGCUAUGCCUAUGAUAAAGUUUCUUCUUACAAAAAAAAAAAAAAAAACAUUCUAGUAAAACUUCCCUCAUAUAUAAUGAUCUAUUACCUUACUAGAUUUUAUCUCGUGGUACACCACAGAUCGAUUUUUUUAACUACAAAAUUAAAUUUUAAGUUGUAUUUAUUUUAAUAUUGUUUAUUUUGUUAAGUCUUUAAGAUCGUAUAAUUGUAUUUUGAUUGUUAAUUUUAGGAUUUUAUCCGUGAUACGUCCCGUAUUAAUAUCGAUCCAAACCCGUCCUACCAUAUAACCCCGUUCCGUGAAAUUAAAUAUCAUUUUGUUAUUUUUAAUAAUAUUUUAUCAAAUAGACAUAUAAUUCGAGUCAAUUUAAAAGUUUAAUAUUAUAUAUAUUUUUGAAUUUUAGUUAAUAAUAAUUAAUUCUAUAUAAUGAUUUCCGAAUUAAUUGCGUAUGUCCAACAGUAAGAAUGAAGAUUAAUAACCAGAUUAAGAUUUGAAUGGUCACGAUUAAAUAUAGGGAUUGUUGAGAUCUUUUAAGGAAAUCGAAUUAAAUAUGGAUUUAAUUGUGAUAAAGAUUAUUUAUUGUUAAUAUAUUAUGUUAAGAUUUUUGGAAACAAUUUUUUAUGUUAAUAAGUCUGGGCAAAUAAACCGAACCAAAUGUACCGAACCGAAACCGAAGCAAAAAAACCGAACCGAACCGAACCGAAAAUUUGAAAAUAACCGAAUGGAUAAUAAAUUUAAUAACCGAAAUAACCAUAACCGAAUCGGUACCGAACCAAAAUAUUUUGGUUAACCAAAAUACCCGAAAUACAAUUAUAUUUUCAAAAUAAUUAGUUAUUUAUAGACCAAAUAAUCAAAAAAUACUUGAAAAAUAUAUAAAAAUAGUUCAAAUACUCGAAAAUAACCAAAAUAUAUCCAAAAAUAUCUGAAAAUACUCAAAAAUAACCGAAAUAUCCGAAAAUAUCCUAAGCAAAAUAACCGAAUGGAUACUAAAUUUCAAAACCGAAAGAACCGGAACCGAACCGAAAUUUCAAAAUAUCCGAAUGGGUACUAAAUUUUAGAACCGAAAAAACCGAAACCGCAUAGACCCAACCGAUAAAACCGAACGGAUAACCGAAAGCCCAGACUUGUUAAUAUCUUUGAUUUAAAUUUGUAAUUCUAAAUAAUUAAUGUCCAUGAUAUUUGAUCGUAGUUAAUAUCUUUGAUUUAAAUUUGUAAUUCUAAAUAAUUAAUGUCCAUGAUAUUUGAUCGUAAAUAAGUUGAAACUCGAGGAUUUAUUUCAUAAAUGUCUCUGAAAAUGUAUAUAUAGAUGCAUGCUUUGUUUGAAAAGAAUCAUUCCCUACAAAUAAUCAAUGUUCCACCGAAAUGAUUAGCACUUGUCAUUGCACAUUAUUAACAUAGCAUGUGUUUAGAUUCUUUAGAUGAUAUAUACGUACAAAUAUGAAAGUAUAAACAAUGGUGUAUGUAUAUAUAUAUAUAUAUAUAUAUAUAUAUAUAUAUGUAGUACUAGAUCCAGAGAGGUUGACAAUCAAAUCUAACUCAUCUUCCCAAUGGAACCAAAAUCUUUGAUAUUCGUCAUCAUCAUUAUCAUAGUCAUCAGCACUCCACUUCCUUCUCUCUCUUUUCAAUUCCCAUCCAACAAAACACCAACAACAUCAACACUAAUUUCUUCUCAAUACAAAACCCUAGCCCGCAACACAAUUCAGCAGCAGUUUCUCCGACCACACAACAUCUUACGAGCCAAGCUUCGUCUCCCUCCUCUGAAAUGGAGCAAUAGUCUCGCCCUCUACGCGAGCCGGUGGGCCCAAACCCGCGGUGGAGAUUGCAAACUUAUUCACUCCGGGGGACCUUACGGGGAGAAUCUCUUCUGGGGAAGCGGAAAAGGGUGGACUCCACGGGACGCGGUGGCUGCAUGGGCAUCGGAGAUGAAAUACUAUGACCGGAGGACUUACCACUGCAAGGUGAAUGGGGAUUGUUUGCAUUACACGCAACUUGUAUGGAAGAAGAGUUCGAGGAUUGGGUGUGCAAUCAGUUUUUGCAAGACCGGUGCCACAUUUAUUAUUUGCAACUAUGAUCCUCCUGGUAAUAUUGUUGGACAGCCACCCUUUUGAAUAUUGUCUACACUUUAUCUUUACCUUUAUUUUCCUCAACUACGUACACUUUAUCUUUAUUUAUGUAAAAUCUUGUUUUGAUUCUUGGAUAUUUGUCAUAUUGUAUGUAAGAUAACAAAAAUGAAUUACGUUUUCUCUUGUAUCCGUAUCAUAUGUACAGUAUAUGCUAAACUUUUCGGGUAAGGUUUCAGUUUCAUUAUAUUAAGCCACCAAUAAAACACCUGAUUUUUAACAUGAGUUUUUUUGGUGAUGCAAUUUGUGUUUUGAUAUAUUUUUGUUGCCGUAAACAAAUUUUUAUUUUUUAUUGUUUGGCCGGUUUGAUUGUGUUUCGGUUGAGAUGGGGGACCUACGUUCUUAAAUUCAGACUUUCAGUUCAUGUUGACUUGGUUCGGUCUAUGUUAGAUGCUGAUAUUGACUUUUAUCCGGACUGCCAAAUUGAACCGAAUAAAACCAAACCAUAAAUUAAGGGGAACUAAUCUGGGCCUCAGAGCCAACGAAAUAAAAAAGCCCAAUGCUUCAAAACUCAGAAACUGAACCCUAAAGAGGCUUAGAUCGCUACAUCGACGCCGGUCCGAAACUUCGACUCGUGGUUAUCGUCAGUUUCAUUUCUGCUUCUUCUCUCUCUCGUGGCUAGACCAUUUAUGUGGUUUGGUUCACUUCAGGUCAGCUUCUCAUCGAUUCUCUAUUCUGUUUGUCUUGAUUCGACGAUUCAUUUGAUCUUUUAUUCAAUCGGUGUCUGAUUCGAGCGACGGCGAAGCAAGAAGGCGAAAUAGCAUACCGGAUUUUACCGGCUAAUUUUAUCCGGUUUGACUAAAAUCGUUGGCUAAACCGAUUUGUUUCCAUCUUCAGGUCAUACCAAGCACAGAGAAAAGCAUUUGGGUAGGUUUUGCGAUCUGUGAUUUUCGGAAGGAGAAACGAAAAUGGCGUUUAGAGGGAAGGAGAUGAUGAAGAAGCUGGUGAAGAGAGUGGGAGCGGAGAAUAUCACGCCAGAGCUCAAGGAGAAGCUCAAGGCUUGUGUUCCUGAUACCAAAGUCGUCAUGGGCAGAGCCAAACGCGGUCUCUACGCCGGCCGCCAUAUCCAGUACGGCAACCGCGUCAGUGAAGAUGGUGGAAACAAGUUUGUCUCUUUCUCUCUAUGCCUCCCUAUCUGUUUAUGAUGUAUGUGUAUUCGCUUGAGAUUUGUUGAAUUUAGAGCUUGUGAUGGUUUUGCUUAAAAUUCACGCAUUGAAGGGCUAAUUUGUAUGUUUUUUAGGAAUGCUUUCUAGAUUUAGGUUUCAUUUUGGUGAAAUGAAAUCUAAAUUCUUGCGUUUGGAAGUAUUCAAUAGCCUUUGAAAUCUUUAGCUGGUUAGAGAUUGUAUAGUGCCUCAUUUUGUUUAGCGCUCUCAUUUGUUUCCGGAAGAUGGCAUUGUUGUUUUGUUUCUGUAUCAUGCUACUCUAAAGAUUCUCAAUAUUUUGAGCCAUGGUGUGAUGAAAUUUAUCCCCUUUAUAGAGAAAUGUAGGAUCCAUGUAACCUAUGUGUCUUAAUCUGAUUUAUUCUGUAUGGUUUGGUAACUUUUGUUUGUGAUUUGAGUUCAGGUCCAGAAGAUGUUGGAAACCGAAUGUCCAGGAGAAGCGAUUGUUCAGCUACAUAUUCGACCGUCACAUUAAAGUCAAAGUCACAACACAUGCUCUCCGCUGCAUCGACAAAGCAGGAGGAAUAGACGAGUACCUGCUAAAAACACCAUACCAAAAGAUGGACACAGAGAUGGGUCUUUACUGGAAAACCAAAGUAGAGCAAAGAUAUGCAGAGCUAGGUCAAAUGGAAGUAGCCUUCUUCACUCCAGAGGAUGAAGCCAAGUUCGAACAAGGAUUCAAAGACUUGAAUAUAGCUAAGAAAGAUGCUCGUAGGGAAGCUAGAAGAAAGAUGUAUGGAAAGAAAGGCGGAGAAGGGAAAGCUGAUGAAGAAGCUUCUAUUGAAGGUGGAGGGUCAAAGUCACACCAAGAAGAUGAUCAUGGGUGGUUAGAAGCUAAAGCUUAGUGCUGCACUCUUUUCUUUUUGCUGAGGUUCUUCAACGUUUUUAGAUUUUGGAAGAUGUGAGAGGUAUGUGAUGUUGUAGGUUAUAGGUUCGAUUCCUCCCUACGAAUCCCAUAACUCAGGUUUUGACUUUGAUCAAUGUCGAAAAGUCUUGUAAUAAAUGGUUUACACCUCUUUGGAAUUGGAUCUCUAUUUACCAUUUUUACAUACUUAGCUUGUCCUUCUCUUUCGAUACCUCAUCUCCAAUGGUGAACAGUAGGUGAUCUUAGUAUUAUAUAUUUGCGUAAGUAUUCUUCACAAGUUAAUAUUAUCUGAAAUUUCGUUCAUAUAAUUUUAAAACAAGUGUGUCAGUGGUAUUUCUGAUUUUUGUAUUUAUUUCAGUUCUAGUAUGUAUUUAAUUUCUGUUAUCAAUCAUUUAACCAUUCAUUUCACAAACAUCAACUAAAGUUUGAUUUUGGAUCCACCAAAAAGUUAUAAAUUUAAAGAAUUUGGUUGCUCUACCAUAAAGUCACAAAUUUUCUUAUUUUAGAAAACAAAUAGUAAUAUAGAGAGAUUUAAAAUACAAAAAUCAAGGAUAAAGGCUAAGAUGUUUGUUGCUAUAAUAGAGGACAGAUAAUUAAACUACAUUAUCCUUAGUCGUGGCAUCAUCACUAAAUACUUAUCAGAAUUCUCAUGAUUUUGUUUUCUUUUUCCAUCUUCUGACCAAACAAAGAUAUUGGACAUAAUAACUUUAGUUUAAUAUCUUUAGUUCUCUACCGCUACCUAGAGACGUCGCAAUCUCUACCAACCGUCAGAUAUUCCGACCCCAUUAUAGACGGCGAGGAUCUCUGCGUCUCCGUCAUCUCAGAUUCUUUUUUUUGCGAUAUAAAAUUUAAUGAAUAUUUGCUUUGAAGGUCAUUAUGGAAUAAAAACAAACAUUUGAUUUAUUCUUAAUUCCAAAAAGAUAAAUUACUUAAAAUAACUUGCAAAACCGAAGAAAAAAUAUCGGCAACAAGAACAAAACGCUCUUCUAUUUUUUUUCUUCAUCUUCCAAUUUCCAGGAACAAGAUUGGACGAAAUCUAAAGGUAAUCAUCGAACAAAAUAAACAGCUUAGCUUCUAAAAAUCCUUCCUUUACCUCGGGAUUCUUUUUAUGUUUUCGGACAAAUUGACUUUUUUGUGUGUUUAUGAUGGUUUGGAAACUAAUGAUAAAUGAUGUUACUGUUCUUGAUUCUGAAUCGAUUUUGUAAGUUGUAACUCUCUCUUGUUUUAGACCAGGUAACAAAGAAAACAUUUACUGUUUUUGUUUCUCUCCAAUGAAUCACUUGUGUAAAAUAGUUGAGAAUUGUUUCUCUUCAUGUUCAAGAAAUUUGAUUGUUUUAGUUCUUUUUCAAAAUGAAAUCUUUAUUGAGAAGUGAUUGUAGGCAUCGUUUGGAUCAUUUUAUGAAAGGUUUCAUUUUUAUUUGAACCAUCACAGAUGAUAAGCUUUUGUUUCGAUAGGACCUUUGCUAGACUUUUGUGGUUGAAGCUCUUUAUGUUUGGCUGUUGAUUUUUAAGAUCGUUAUUACAAGAGUUUAGUCAGAACAAUGUUUUCUUCUAAUGAUGAUUUUAUGUCUGGUGCAAAGGUAUUGAAUCGCAGAUUUUAGCAGUUUAGUCUCUGAGUAUGACUCUUGUAUUUGCUCUUUUGCUCGUUUUUUUUUUCUAUCAGUGUUUGAUCUGUUCUUUUUUUUCAUUCUUUGGGGAACUUUGGAGUUCAAAUGAAUAGUUUUUCUUCAAGAAUUUGCGUUUUGAUAAAGUAAAAUAAAGAGUCUUUUUGUUACAGGUAUUGCAUCCAUUUAAAAAGUUCAUGGAUAGGUGGUCGGGUAAAAGAGCGCAUGAGGCGCGACCUGACUCUAAGAAGGGUGGUGGUGUUGUUUUCAGAGAUAGAUUUAACAACAAUAGUUGCAAGGUUCCUAUUUGUAGUGAUGAGAAAAAAACGAUGAACUUUACUCGGUUUGUUGGCUCUUCAGAUAAGAAAGAGAAGUCAGUCUUGUCUACAUACCGCUCUUCGCCAAACGGGAAGGAAGUAAUUGGAACUUCCUCUAAGAUUUGUGGCUCUAGCUCCUCUUCUGUGAAAAGUGAGAAGCAACCGUUUUCUCAGAUAGCCAUGGAUUCAUCAGAGAGCAGCAGAGGUAGCGAAGAUGAGGUAGAGACAGAAAUCUUGCAAGUUUCUCUUGGAAGAGAUAAAAGAAAAGCUAACAAUAAACUUAUUUAUGGAAAAGUUAUAACACCAGAAGCGGAAUGUUCAAACUUGCCAUCGAGCUCAAGAAUCAAGAGAGGUUUUAGGCAGAGGUUUGGGUUGAGCAAGCAAGAGUUUCACCCUGGUCCCUCUGGCCAGUCAACAUCUGCCAACCGAGGAUGCAGCCCGUUGUUAUCCGGUGUCAUUCCAAGUGGUUUUGGAUUGGAGAAAAGAUUAAGUCGGAAGGCAGAUACUAUCAAUAAGAGGAAAGUUUAUGGAGAAAGCAGUUCUAGCUCCUCAGCUAGGGGGAAGAAUGUAACAGAAACACCAGCUGAAGUGAGACGUCGUAGUUUUAAUCCGAGAGGUUCUGUUUCAGAUAUUAGACAGGCUAGACACUGCAUUUUGAAUGAUGACAACGAUGUUGCUUCAUUUGGGAGUCAGAGAUUGGCAGAUAGAAGUAAUAGUCGCAUUAGAUUCUCAAACCCUGGGAGUGGUAGAGAAGCUUUAUCCUCUGUCACGGCAACAGAGAUGUCUCAGACUGAGACAUCAAACAAUCUCAAUUCUCCUGUCUCUUUGGAGCUGUUCUCUGGUUUCCCAGAAUUUGGCCUCUCUGGUUCCUUAUUGAGUCAAGACAGUUUUCGCAGUUACAAUUUAGAUGGGAUCUCGGAGGUAACUAUUUCCUGUUACUCUACAACUUGACAUCUUGUCUGAGCAUCAUCAACUAGUGCUUACAACAAUGCCCUUAGCACCGUUUAACUUUUGGUGUUUUGUAUUGCUCGGAUGCUUUUGCAGAUUUUGCCAGAACUUGAUAGGAUUGAACAAGAUAUCGAGCUUAAUUAUGAGGUUAAAAUUUGACACAUGUUUUGACUUUUGAGUUUCAGAUGUUGUGAUAGUGUUGUUACUCAUAUUUUCCUCUCCCUUAUCAGGAGCUGCUUAUCAUGGAGACAGGUUUACUUCUCGGUGGACUAAGCUUCCAUGACCAACACCGAGACAUGAGGCUAGACAUAGAUAACAUGUCAUAUGAGGUUCGUCCUUACAUCUUUCAAACUCGUGUUCCGUAUUGGGAUGUAGUAUCUUUACCGUUUUGUCUUUUUAUUUUUGAAUGAAUACAGGAACUAUUAGCUCUUGAAGAGAGGAUUGGUACAGUAAGCACUGCUCUCACAGAAGAAGCAAUAUCAAAGUGCUUGAAAACAAGCAUCUAUCAGAUGAAACCUGUAACUUAUGGGUCUAUCACCAAAAGUCCUAGUGAUCACAAGGAAGAUGCCAAAUGCAGCAUCUGCCAGGUUUGUCUUGUUAGUCAUAAUCAAGCCUUUGGCUUUGAUGAAAUCUUAAGGAAAGCCUGCCAUGAGUUGAUGUAGCUAAGUGAACAACACCAAACUUUGUCUAUUGUUGCGGGUGCUGUCACAAAGUGUAAUGGAAAUCUUUGAUUAUUACAGGCGUUUCAUUGAUGCAUGAUGGUGAAUAUAGAACUGAUAUGUAUUUGUAUAUGUAAAAUCAGAAAUUUUCUUUACCUUUUCUCUACAGUUCUUCACACUCUGAUCUUUGUGGUUUACAGGAAGAGUAUACAAUAGGAGAUGAAGUUGGGAGGCUACACUGUGAGCACACAUACCAUGUGAAGUGUGUGCAAGAGUGGUUGCGGAUGAAGAGUUGGUGCCCAAUCUGCAAAGCCACUGCCGAAACUUCCUCUAAAUAACUGUCUUCUUCUUCUUCCUCGUUCGUUGUAUUAUUUAUUUCAUCUAAAGCCUGUGAACAACAAUGGAACCUGCCUAGAAAGGGCCUCACCAUUUCCUUUGUGUACAUACCAAUUCACACCGGCUCUGUCUCUCUUUCUAUAUUCCUUUUGUCUAAUGACAAAGCUAUCCUGUGUUUCUCUUCGUCUUUUCACCUGUUUCCUGUUGAUUUCCGUAAUGUAAAGUGGGAAAGGCGGAAAAUAUGUCAUUUGAACUUUGAAGAUUAAGAAAACGUCAUCUUGAAUUCUUAAACUUGGACAAUUUGUUGAAAAACAACAAAGAGCGUGCGUGGUUCUUUGGAUCUCUGGACUUGUGGGAAAACUUAAAAAGACAUUCAAAGAAGAAAAUGGAGUCGCCUUCUGCAUAUUUUCAAAGUAAAAGCCAAAGGUUUCCCAAAAAAGAGAGCAACAAUUACUGUUGGAUAGACUGAGAAGCCGAAAGCAGAAUCAUCACGGGAUUUAGAAUCUGAGAAUUUCAUGAUUCUCCAUAGCGAGAGUAUAAUACAUUUUCCCAUUUGUAAUUCAGCUCAAGUAUUACUUGAUAGGAUCAUCUGAAACAGUUUAUGUCAAUACCUUGUAGGGUAAAAGAAACAAGUAAGAAAACCAACCAGUAGAAUGUAAAAAUGAGGCAAUUCACUGAUUUUGAAAAUAACUUUUUCACUGAAAUGAGGUAACAAAAAUGUAAAUGUAAAUGUAAAAGUGAUGUCAAUGUGUCUUCAAGAUAUAAAUUCUAAAACAAUUCUAAGACUAUGUUACAUACAGAGCAAUACUGCAACUAUUACGUGAUUGUUUGUACCUUGCUCUUGCCUAAAACCCACAGUAUCUCAGCCAAAACUUUCUCUUGAUUUCCUUAUCGGCCUGCGUUUACACUCAAAGCUUGAAACUCGCUGGAAUGGCCAGAUUUCUUUUGAUCUUACAACAACACGUAUUCAUUCAUAUCUACUAACCUGCCCCGAGUCUGCGGCUCCAGGACAUAGUUGGGUCAAUCAGCCAUCAGGUCCAUCAUGGGAUACAGAGCUCAAGAAUUGUUUUCUACCAAAAUCAGUGGCCAGUCUUUUUGGACCAGAGAGCUUACUCAGACAAUUUGCAGCAUCCAAUAUGCCUAACCAUUUUCUUUCACACCCCUUCUCGUUCCUCGAAUGAACAUAUGGAAAUUCUUUCCCGUAGCAAUGGCCAGUCUUCACCAAGUUGAUGCGGAUUUAGCUCCAUUGCAACUCUAAAAUCAAGCAAAGACACUGAAUGUUGUUCUUGCGUUAUGUCAGAUGGUUGGUUGCUAGUUUGUAUGUGCAAACUAUUACUCGUCCGCACCCCAUUUACAAGCUCGUCUCGGCUCUGCUGUUUGUCUAAACUUUGUUUUCCAGGCGUUCCAUUCAUGGACCGAGCUCCAGCCAAAUCAACGCAUGAUUUCAUUAGUUUCUUCAGGUACAAGUCCAACAUGUUAUUUAAAACAGUAGAACACUCCGCGGAAACCCCUCCAAGACCCUGUGCUACUGCAAUAUUCUCCAUCCUCUUCCUCAGCAUCUCUGUGUCUGACAAUCCACCACUGUCAUAGCAACUGAUAGCAUCUGCGCUGGUCGAAAUUGGAACUGUUCUGCGAUCCCCACCGACACUAGCCGAGCAGAAUGGGAUCCCCAGAGGUGCAACUACAGGAGGCAUGGAAAGAAUCAAACUACCUCGCUCUUCUUGGGCUUCAUCAUCCCUGCUAAGAGGAGCUGCAACCUGACCUUUACCCGAAUCCCUCUUUUGUUCAGCAGGGCAAAGAAAUGCACUGUCUCUUUCAUCAGCAUAGCGACCUGAUCUUUGAUAAGCAAAAGGACCCGAAUCCCUGUUCUCCGUGUUACUAUUACCGGUUCUGUCAACCUUUCCGUUUGGCCCUAGUGGACAAGGCUUAUCUCUGAUUGUACUGUCACACGUUCCAAACCGAACGUUGGGUAACACCCCAUUUGAGCAAACAGGAUCAUUCCUACUAUGGUCAGGAAUUAGAGGUCCGCUUUGUUCAGGUCCAUCCUCUUUCCCAAGCACCAAAGAUUUGCCAGGGUGACCGGUUUGGUGACCUGGUGGUGGGGACUUAGCCAGAGACGCAUUUCUCAAGAUGGAACGAAUCAACUUGUUGUGUAGAGAAAGAUUCUCUCUCCCCAAAAGACGGAAACAUGACUUAUCAAACUCACUCUUAGUAAGCUUCUGACUCAGAAACCUGCCCAAAUAGUAAAAAUACCUUCUAGAUCUUUCAACCCCAAUCUUCUUCACUAUAUGCACUUUCAGGUCAGCUAGAUCAACCCUGGGAUCUUGAAGACGUUGCAUACUUGUUUCUUCUUCUUCUUCUUCUUCUAAAACCGAAACCAGAUGAAACAGUCAGAGGAGUGCACAAAAUGCACCCUCUCAGCUUCUAGUUAUCCUUCACACAAACAAACCCAACUCAUCAACGUAUUAUUUCUCAAACUCAAAUCCAAGAGCAUUUCAAGAACUCAGCUGCAGCUUUUAGUACAGGCCACUCCAAUUGCAUCCAAAAGCUCUUUCAUUUUCCCAAACGACCCAGAAUUCGUAAAUCUCAUGUUCCCAAAACCAAAACCCUAGAGAUCAUUAUCUACUAGCCAGCUUAUACCAAGAACCUUAAAAUUCAACCUCGGCUGAUUCAGUAUCAGAAUGGAUUAAAAACCCUAGCUUGGAGUCAGCAAAUCAAUCCAUCAAGAAGGAAGAACCACCAACUAACCGUUUCUCCAAGUUCACGAGCGAGUAAGAAGACGAAACUGAAUCAGAGCAGAAAAACCCAAGCAUUUUUUGCUUCACGCCCAAUUCGGAAGCUAAGAACUUGAGAAUUUCCGAAAUUUGAGUUGGAGAAAAUCGAGAUCAGUGGAGUUGGACAAAUGAUUGGAGCUUUGAGAACAGAGCACCAGAUUCGAAUUGCCUAAAGAAAAAGAUGAAAUUCGAAUUGAAGAAGGAGGAAGCGGGCAAUGAGAAGCGGGACCCAAGCUUGGAAGCAGAAAAACAAGUGUUGGAAGAUUGAUUUAGAGUAGGAAAGAUUUGACCAGAAUUCAGACACGAAAACAAAAUCGGAACAUAACAAGUAACUUCCCAGAGUUCCGACACCAACCCAAUGAUUUCUCGGCUCCUUAAUAAUAAUAAUACACUUCUGCUUCGAUUGAAUCUUGCUGGCUUCUUGUUUCGUAUUGCUGCUUUUCAGAUUUGAAUGUCCGAGCGCUUUCGCUCUUGUGUGUUUGUUUAUUAGCUUCGAUCGCUGCUUAUUGGGUUUUGUUGUUCGUUUUUCUUCACUUUUGUUUCUGUCUGUUUUUUUUUUUUUUUUUGUUUCUCUCUCUCUCACUCUCUGUCUUGAUAAAAUUUGGUUUAUUGGGUUUCUUCUUUUCGCUCGUUAUUGCUUUUGUACUUUCGACUAAAUCGAGUUUGAUGUAAGAAAUUCUGUAACAACAAUAGAUUAAACCCAUUUGAUUUAUUCAUCUUGCAAUGUUCUGAUCUGAGUGAUCUCAUCUAAUAUCGGAUCAUGUCAGAAUUUCUUUACUUGAUACAAGUGACAAUUUAUUUACAAGAUUAAAGAUGAGUGUUAGUACUUGAGAUUUCCCCCAAAUAUUAGGUGUUGGCUUUUUGGUCAAGUAAAAAGAUUUUAAAAUUUGGCGUUGAACAAAAGAAAAAGAGUUUCAAUAUGGAAUUUGCAAACUACAAAGCUUCGUCAGCUGGAACAAAACCAAGCUUCAAACUUACAACAUUAAACAUUAGAGAUUCAGACAAAUGAAAGAAAAAACAGAGACACAAUUCCACAUAACUCGACAAGACAUAUCCUCCUAACUCAAAUACUACAAGAAAACCUACAAAGAUUACCAAGUGACAAAGACCAAACACAAACAGAUGUGGGAUUCAAUCUAAAAGAGAUGUCACAUAAUCCUACCUCAUAAUACUCUCCUACUGCAUUGUGUUUGUUGUGUACAGCUCAUCUUACAGAGUUUAUUUGGCCCGUCCUUUGCCUCGACCUCCUCGGCCUCUUCCUCUCCCCCGCCCUCUUCCUCUUCUGCUGUAUGCCAAGACCUUCGUAGUUCCCGGGCUGCUACUUGCUGAGUUUGAGUUCGGUAGAGACUGGUCUCCUGGGAGCCACUCUUCUUCAUGAGUGCUUGAACUGUUAUGCGAGCCACUUGAGUGGCUGUCAUUGUUUUCGUUAUUAAUUGCACCAUCUGAGCCAUUCCCUACUGUCAUAUCAUCACCAUGAAUUUCAGCUACAGGCUGAGAAGCCUCGGUUUCUUCUGGUGGUGUGGGUUUUGGUUGACCUUCCACCACUGGUGAACUGAAAAAGUAAGGCUUUGCUUAGUAUGAAAUAAUAUCAUCAUGUCAAACUAGACAGACAAAUGAGGUGGAAGGUGAACUGAAAAAGUAAGGCUUUGCUUAGUAUGAAAUAAUGUCAUCAUGUCAAACUAGACAGACAAAUGAGUUGUUUUUUCACCUAGGUGAUGAAGAUGGGAAACCGUUAAAAGUAGCACGUGAUGCGCCUAUUUCAUCAGCUUCUUUUGAUGUUUCAAACACAUCUUUAGGGAUGCAAGAAGAGUUCCCAGUUGGAUCCAAAGUUGCCCCAAGAGCCAAGACAGCUGCAUUAAUAGGAACGCAAGUAAUUUAAGAGAACCCAACUAAACAUCAUCCAGCACCAAAGGAAUUCAACAUACCAUGUAUACCAUUUGUGGUGUUUCCGAUAGUAGAGCUAGGUUGGAUAAAAUCGCCAUCUUGAUCAUUGAAGUCAUCUACAGCGGUUCCACUGUCACAUACAGUUGAGAAACUUCAGAAGAUUGAUAUACUAAAAAAUGGAUCUGUCGAAAAGAAACAAGUUACAAUCUGUGUUGGAAGGAUAAGCACAAUAAAAAGAACCUUUGAGGAGCGGUAUUUGUAUCUUCAGACGGCUUGACUCCUUGUGUGGAGAUAAAUGUCUCGUCCAAACCAACUCCACCUAAUCAGAACACAUUAAAUUCAUGAGACAGAGUAUAAAAAUCGAAUAUUAGAGAGUGUAUACAAAUUAAGGAUUAAGGGAGAAACUAACAAGAUCUAGUAUGUAAAACUCCUGUUUCUCCGACGGCUAGAUUAGCUUCCGUAGUCUUCACUCAAGUAAAACACAUAAGGACACCAAAAAAAGAAAAGAUUGGAACUGCAAGUUUCUUCUUGGUAUAGAGAGACACAUAGUGUAAAGAGUGCUUGAUACCUGAUUGUGUUCAGAGGUAGGUAUGGCUGAAUUUGGUAGAGCUCUGCUUUGUUCAUACCGUACAGCUGAAAGAACAGAAAAAAAAGAGUUACUCAUGUGACCAGAGCCGAAAAUACUUUCAGUUUCAUCUCAUGUCUUACUGAAAAACUUCGACCACAUGUAAAUAAAGAAAGAAAAAAAUACCUCCAUCAGCAUUCAAAGACGAAGCAUUUCCUUUGAGCAUAUCAGUCGCUAAAACAUAGGGGCUGUAUUUAGGUUCCAAAGAGGCUACACUACUAGGACUUUUAAGCAUUUCCUCUGUUGCUUUAGCUCUGACUUUGCGAAUUUCAUCUUGAAUAUUCCAUGAUUGAUUAGAACCGGACUUCCUUUUCAGCUGCAUUUUGGUAUUAAAUGUCAGAAUGGAUAAGGGUAAAUUUGAGAGAGCCAUUCAAAAUACAUAAUGGUAUGCAACUUUUCUUUAGGAAAAGCUGGAAAUAGUGUCCCACAAAUUCCUCGUGGUUAUCUAACAUAAACAAUAGAAGUUAAGCAGAGAAUUUUAUCUUAUAAACCAAGGUAAAACAACUUCAGACUUUCAAACAACAUUUGACCAUAAGAAAAGUAUGCACUGCUGGAAAACUUAAAAUUCUAACCUUAGAUGAGGAAAAGUUUCCAGCGCUAUAAGGAAAGGGUGUCCCUUGCAUUCCUGCUGAUGAUGGUGAUCGAAACUCUGCUGGAGAUCCCCAUGGCAGACGAGCUCGCAUGUAAGACUUGGCCACGUCCACAGGCGAUCCAGCACCAUCUUCAGUUGCCUAGAGAAUUAAACUAAUGGCUGAGAUGGUGAUCAUCAUUUAAAGCACAAUGGAAAAGAAACACAUAUGGCGGAAUAAUGUGAAGCAAAGCUAUCAGAAGUUGACCGAAAUCAUGUGAGCAAAUGGUCUUCAUAGUAAAAAAAAAAGAGCAACAAUAUGGAUCUUUUGCAUUUUAAGCGGACAAAAAAGUAGUUUCCAAUCAGGACAUUUCAGGAUUAAUGUCACCAGAUGGCCACACUCAAAAUUCUAAACAACCUACUUUUGCAAGAGAGCUUUACGUUGCUGAUCACAUGGAGUGGCAUAGAACAAUAAAAUCAUUUUACACAAACAGAAGAUGUCUCCUUCUAUAAUAACAAUGGCUUAGAGCACAGAGACAGAUAUCACAAAAAAGUACAAACCUGCAGGCUGCAGCAAUAUGGAACAGUUAAGAAGAGUUAGAACUUACUGUAUACUUUGAACUUGAUCCUGAUUUCUUUUCCUCCAACCAUUUUCUUGCUUCCAUGACAGUUGUAUUGGACAUUUCACCAACAUUCACAUCUAGAAAUAGAACAGAAAAGACGUUAUCACAUUGACUAAUCCGGUCUGCUUGCACAGUCUACCAUCAGUUACAUACCACUUGUCAAUCCAUUGUCAUUAUGCCUCCCCUCAACAGCAGAGGGGACACUAGGAUGAUCGACAACCCUAGCCUUGAUGAUAUCUAUUAAUCUAUCACCCUCUUCCCUGGAACAACAUACACAUGAAUGAAUAAGCAGGAUACAAGAUCAGCUUAGAUUUGUUAACUAAACAAAUAUCACAAAGAUUCUUUUAAGCUAAGAGCUGUAAAUAUUAAAUAAUAAGACUCGCGGAAGAGGCUGCAACUUAUGAUGUCCAGAAAGCCAGACAUAGAGAAAUACCUUGCAAAUGUUUCUUGCAUGAGAAGCUGCUCAAUUACACGCUUAGAACUGAGUCGUUGGAUGGUUGGUUGCUGGGCAGUCAGAAGGUCCUAUUCACACAAGCACACAUCAAAUUCACUCCACAAGUUCACAUAAACUGAAAUCAUGCUUUCAUCAAAAAACUUUUAGUUGAAAACGUGUUAGAACUUUACUUCUACAAAAUCAGGAUCACAUUACAAUUCAUACACAUACUAAAAAGGCGAAAGGUGACUCAGUACAAAACUAGCAGAAAAAUAAUCAAUCUUUAGCAACACCAUAAUCCACUGCGGCUACAGAGCAGAAUCAAUCAUAAGAAUAAUGAAUUCAAACAAAUAUCUAGAACUACAGUGGCAGAGCAAUCACCAAAACGAACAAGGUGGUUAGUACCUCUUCAGUAAAAUCGGUAAUGGUCUUCUCAACAUCCUCAUCACCAUCAAUAUCUGCACACAAAGAGGUUAACAUGUAAAAAUCCGUACUUUAAAAGAAUAAGACACAAAGCUGGUCGGGUCGGUUCUAUUAAUUCCAGAACUACUUCAUAUGCAAACCAAGGAAGAGAACGGGUCGACCUAAUCCCAGAACUACAUUAUAUGCAUAAAAAUUAGAGCUUUAGAAUUAGUAUGAAGGUUAUAGCUUUAGAAGUAACCUAACUAAAUAGAGUAGAGUAGUAAUUCACCACUGCUUAACUGCUAUUAAGUCCCACAUAUCAAAGGAAAGAGAAAAUGGGAAAGCUUUAAAUCAAAAUUCACAUUUCAAAUGAAACGGUAGGUUUCAGAUUCGAACAGAUAAUAAACCAAAAAUUCAAAUGAAUCAUAUCUAAACCCAAAUAAAUUGUACAAACCUGAAGAUGAAUCCUCGUCCUCCUCCGAAGACGAGGAAGAGUCGGAGAAGACGACGGAAGAAAUGAAUUUUCCGGCGCCGGAGGCAAUUACGCUGGCGGGUUUGUAAACGAGCCUGGAGAUCCAACUAGGGUUUUGCUGAGGAGGAUCUCGGGAUCUCGGAACGGGGCGGUCAUACGGCGUCCUGACGGCGGCGGUGCGUCGUGGUCGAACAAUUUUUCCUCCGGUACGAGGCUGACCUACUCCGGCGGGGUAACCGGAGACGGAAUCCAUGGUGAAAGUGAGAGGAGGAGGAGGGAGAAGUUCGUUGAAGGAAAUAAUGAAGUGUUGGGGAAAAUUGGUAAUUUCUCGUUAUUUGUCGUCUUCUUGUUUUUUUUUUUAAUUGGGGGUGAAAGGUUAGUUUCCUAAAUUACAGGCCUGCGGUUAAAAUUUGCUUCCACCAAUAAAAUUAGGCAAAAAAACAAAACAUUCCGACUAUAAAAAAAAAUUAACUGUAGUGUAUAAUCAUGUAUUAUAUAUUCAUUUGUUUUCAUAUUUUGAAAUUUGAACAAUGUACAUGACGUAGAAAAAAGAAAAAAAUAAGAGAGAGAUUAUAAUUUGGAAAAAAAAGUCAUGAUAGAACGAAGUAAUUAAUAAAGUUGUAAAAAGUUAUUUCAAAAAUAAUAUUUAAACAAUUUAAAUUAAAAUUUGGUUUUUAGUUUAUUUUUAUUUGCACCGAAUGGUACUUACUGUAAUUCGUCAACUACUGUAUGUCAGUGUUAAAAAAAGCUAAAAUAAUGGGCCCAAUGGGCUAUAUUAAUAUCGGGUCAAGGACGGGUCAGAAACAACCCGAUCGGAUCUAAAAUGGGCGCCUUCUUUUUCAUUUUGAUGGCAAUCAAUCAAUCGACGCUUCUUUAGAGACAAACGCAAUCGCCGAUCCAUUUACGAGCCGUCGUCGCUUUACACAUAUCAACAAUCCUUAUCCUCCAGUUUCCAUUUCUAGAUCGAUCGAGAUUGAAGGAGAGAAGAUGCCUGGUUUAACAUGUAACGCGUGUAACAUGGAGUUCAAGGACGAAGAAGAGCGUAACCUUCAUUACAAAUCCGAUUGGCACCGCUACAAUCUCAAGCGCAAGGUCAAUUUUCUGCUGUUUUCUCUAACCCAAUUUGACCUCAGACUAUUUUUGUAUACUUUUUCCAUUUUGCUGUCGAAAUGAUUUGUUUUAAGGUUAUAGAAUCGUUCUCUUGCAGGGGAAGAAAGUCUCUAGAUUUUAUAUGAAAUCUUGAUUUGAAGCUUAUCAUAGAUUUGGUUUCUUGUACGCAUUUGAAUCUUUUUGUAUUUAUGGAAUUUUUGUUGUUAGGUGGCUGGAGUUCCUGGAGUUACAGAAGCCUUGUUUGAGGCUAGACAAUCUGCUCUUGCUCUGGAGAAGAAUAAAUCAAAUGAAGCUCCUAUGCUUUAUACUUGUGGAAUCUGUGGUAAAGGUUACAGGAGUUCCAAGGCUCAUGAGCAGCAUCUUCAGUCCCGGAGCCAUGUUUUGCGGGUUUCACAAGGCCCAUCAAUCAACGGAGAGGAGGAUAUAGCGAUUAUCAGGCAACUUCCUCGCCGUGUUCAACACAGGGGUUCCAUUGAUGAUGAUAGUGAAGAUGAAUGGGUGGAGGUUGAUUCUGACGACGAAUUGGCUGCUGAAGAAGCCUCACAUUCGUUGUCUAAGUUGAAUGUGAUUGAGUCAGGAUCUGCUGAAGAUAUGGAUGAUGAUGGUGAUGCAGACAAGUAUGAGCUGGACCCAACCUGCUGUUUGAUGUGUGACAAAACCCAUAAGACCUUAGAGAGCUGUAUGGUUCACAUGCAUAAGCACCAUGGUUUCUUCAUUCCCGAUAUCGAGUAUCUCAAGGAUCCUGAAGGGCUUCUCACUUACCUCGGUCUCAAGGUUUGGACUCAUCAAUUUACCAUUCACUGUUCGUUGUUGUCAAGCUUUCAAUUUCUUACUCCUAUUUACUUAUACAUGGCUCAUCACUCAGGUCAAGAGAGACUUCAUGUGUCUAUACUGCAAUGAGCUGUGCCGUCCAUUCAGCAGCUUAGAAGCUGUAAGAAAGCAUAUGGAAGCAAAGAGUCAUUGCAAACUGCAUUAUGGUGAUGGUGAUGAUGAUGAAGAUGCUGAACUAGAAGAGUUCUAUGACUACAGCAGCAGGUUUCAACUCUCUUGUAUCUUUGAUUUUUCUUGUUCUCACCUCUAUUCCUCUUUCUAUGCCAAAUCUUAAUGCACCUUCCAUUGGAAUCUAUGAAUUGAGCAGCUAUGUUGAUGAAGCUGGGAAGCAGAUUGUUGUAGCUGGUGAAACAGACAACACUGUAGAACUUGUUGGGGGUUCUGAGCUCCUGAUCACGGAGAAUUCCGAGAACACAAAAACGUCUAAAACUCUCGGGUCCCGUGAAUUCAUGCGUUACUACAGACAGAAGCCACACCCAACUUCUCAAAACAGCAGCCAGAUAAUGUCCUCUUUAUCUUCAAGGUUUGUUUUCUCCAAACCCAUUAGUCAUCCAAACCUAUUAAACUAGCGAAUCGGCAAGUUAAUUUAAGGUUAUUCUCACAAAUGGCAAAUUCUCAGGUACAAGAGUCUGGGUCUGAAGACGGUACCGUCAAAAGAGGAGACAUUGAGGAUGAAAGUGCGCAAGGAGAUGAGUCAGAGAGGUGAGACAAUGCGUACCAAGAUCGGAGUGAAGAGUAAUGUCAUCAGAAACUUGCCCAAUAAUGUCCCAUAUUAGUUUCUGUCUAUUGUCUAGUGUUGGAUUGAAUGAUGAUUUCAUGUACUUUGAGUCUUUGACCAAGUUGUGUUGGUACUUUGGUAAUAAGAGUUAGCUUUAAACAGAGUAUGUUCACUGAAAUAGAAAAUGUUAAAAUUGCUACACGAACGUUGACUUCUGAUUUACUCUCAAUAUCUACAUUGUUCAGAGAUGCAUGUAAAACAAAGAAGAGACCACGACAAAGGGUACUACAAUAUCCCAAAAAGGCUUUUAGUUUUGUUUUUGUACAAAGGCUGUGGCUGCGAGUAAUGUCACAAGACAAACCUAAAAUAAAUUUAUGUGUAGAAGGAAAAAGAAGAGAGAGAGGUCCAAAACCAAGAACACUGGCUACGAAUAGGUUGGUCUGCUUCAUUCGCUUCGCUUCAUUUUCCAGCUGACUGAGAAAGAAAAGAAACAUAAGAGAUCCACAAGAAGAUAGUACCAAAAGCAUAGAAACAGAAAGUUAAUUACCUAAUUUUCAUAGAAGCGGGUUCGACGCCUUCUUGAACUGCAAACCAGAAAAAAUAUGGCAUCAAGCAAUGUUUCUUAAGUAACCAUCAUAUAUAGCACAAUAAAGCUACUAAACCAGGUCAACACCCUGAGCCACUAUGCCAGAGAUAUCACACAAUAGGACCUGAUUUCGUCAUUUAACCUGGCUCACCGGUAAGCCUCUAAUAUCAAUGCAGAAUAAUCAUAUACUAUGAAACUAAGAAUGUACAUCUCUGCAGAACGAAACAGUAACAAAUUAGUGGUGUAAAGCAAUAGAUGGUUCUGACCUUUGGUGCAUAGAGCUACUUCUGUUAGCUCCACUUGUGCUGAUGAACUCAUCAUCGAUCUCAUCUACUCUAUACUCCGGGAACUCUAUGGAUGCUACUGAGCUGUCAUCAGAGUUGGAGUUUUCAUAGCUAGAGCGGCGACUCCCUCUCCUGCUCUCGCUCAUUCUUGAUCUUCUUCGAUUCCUGGCAUUCCUUAUAUUGUCAAACAUUUGGUACAGAAUACAAGAGGUCCACCAGUUUCCUUCAUUGUUAGGAACAUCCUCAAAUUCAUCUCCAGUGUCAUCAUCUCCAUAUUCGAUCACAUAGUCCCCUAAAACCACUCCUCUUGGAACUUCGGAGUGAAUUGUGCUCAACACGUCGAUUAUUUCAGACGACUGCUGGAAAUUCUCCCAAUCAAGCUUCCGUGCUGGAUCAAUUUCUGAAGGACGAGAAUCCGGAUGCUCUGACUGAGCAUGUUUGCGAAGCUCCAAGUAAGUACCCAUAAACCUGCAUCUUUCUUCCUCACAGCAACGUUUUUUCUCAUCAAGACGGACACGGGCUUCUUCUACAACAAGCCAGCCAGUAACUUCUCCUCUACACAGUGGACAAACGGGUUUGCAACUCUCUUCUAGAACCUUAGAGCGAGGUUCAUCAGGGGCUGGAGGUGAAUCAGUACCACAGGCGCUAAUGAAACGAUCCAAACAGUUAGAGUGAAGGUGAUCAGUAUUGCAGACAAAAGCACGGCAGCCGUUUUCGUAAGAAGAACACUGGAGAAGCACACCAUUGUGAGGGAAAUCCAAACAAAUGGGACAAGUUAAAUCAUCCCAAUUGAGAGUCAACUGAAACUCUUGGCUACAAAAGGUCUUAGCUUGAAGCCGCUUUUCACAAACAUGUAGUUCCAGAGCCAUAAGAUCCGCAAAGGAAACAGAUUAUUCCAACUUAUCGGGAAGGAACUAAGUAUCUAUAAUCAGCAACCCUUGAUGGAAGAAAUCAUUUCCCCGGAAUCUGUUACUUGAUAGUAGCUGCAUAUAUGCAUGUAAAUAAGUAUCCACAAUCUUAAAUCUGCUGCAAAAAUAUGAAUGUAAAAAGACAAUUCGAUAAAUGAUAAAACCCCAAAACCAAUACGAUUCAGUCGCUGGUGAAACACGAAGAACCCAAAAGAGAGUGAGAAUCGGAUUCAAAAUCAAACAAUUUUUAGAAAACCGAUCGCAUAAUCAAGAGCAGAAGAACCCUAGCCAAAUUAGAAACGACAGAUCCAAAUCACCGAAUUGGUAAGCAGUAAGCAAACGAAAUCGAAGAAAAAGAGAACGAAAUCGAAGAAGCUGACCUGAGAUUGAAAGUUACAAAGGAAGUGGAAGAAGGGCGAUGAUGGGGUUUGCUUGUGGGGAUAGUGUAUCGCAGUUGGUAGCCUCCUUUUUCUCUCUCUCUCCUACUCUCUCUCAAUCCCCAUAUCCAUUUUUACCUUUUCAAUACAUUAUUAGAGCUAUUUUUAAUAUCAUUAAUAUUAUUAUCUAAAAUAUUAUGUGACGACUUUUUACUUUCGAGUUUCAAGUAAUAAAAUAUGCUACAGGUUAGUCUUUCAAAAAAAGUACAUAUAAGGUCCGAAUGGUAACCGCGGUUUUUGUUGUGCGGAGAAAGCGGUAUGACAGUGCGGUACGGUUCAACUGCGGUACGUGCGGUAUGCGGAACAAAUGCGGUUUUUGUAAAUAAGCGGUACGAAAUAAUGUUUGAUUGGUAAAAAACAAAAAGCGGUGCGGGAUAUACAUUGUAGUUAAAUAAUUUUAAUUAAACAUUCAAAUAUGUAUAUAUAUAUAUAUAUAUAUAUUAAAUAAAAAAUUUCAUAAUAAACAAUAUGAUACAACAGAAAAAUAUUUUUCGAAUAUUUUUUAACUAAUUAUUUAAAUACAUGUGGUUUUUUAUAAAUAUUUUAAGUAUUUAAACAUAAUUUAAAUAAAUAUGGUGAUACAAUUAUAUAUCAUAUAUUUGAAAAAACCAAUAUGACAAAGAAAUAAAACAAACCAAAAAUAACAUGUAUAAUUAAAUAAAUGGUUAAUACAAGUUCUAUUUUUUAAAUUACACAUAUCUCUAUAGACUGUAGAUACCACAUAACGCAAACACAUCAAAUAGGAUGUGAAUUUACUGUAGCGGGCCAACUACAAUAUUUACAAACAAAAUUGAACCGCACUCACAACCCAAAAAAUAAAAAGAAACGUCCCGCACUUGUAAUAUUUUGUUGAUUGGUAACAUAUCAAUGGGUCCCAUGAAAAACGUCCCGCAGUUCUGAAAUCCGCCGUCUCCAUUCACCCCCUAAAUUUGAAUAUUUGAUUUGCAGCUGAUGACUGGAAAAUAUUUUAUUGUGAUUUAUGAGAAGAAAAUUUCCUACAUCUGAUUUAUAAACUUUUGUUUGUGGUUUAUUUAAUAGGGUUUGUUAGAAUUAUUUGAGCUAUAAUUUUCAAUUCUAUAUCGAGUAAAAAUGAUUUUACUUUAUAUUUGUUAACUAUUGUCUGAGUAACAAAUAUUUUGAUUUAGGAAAUAAAUCAACAAAUUCAUCUUGCAAGCUUUGACUAGUUUUUAUUGUUUUUCUUAUGCUUUUUUUUUUAAUUGGUUUGCUUGAAUAUCAAAUUAUCGAAAUUAAGCAAAACUUCUUUUUUUCCACUUUCUUAUUAAACUCGUUAAAAUAAAAAUAAUAAUAAAUUUUUGACAAACAAAAGAAGAUUGGAAUUAAAAAUUCUAAGUUUGUUGUAUUUGACAGUUAUUUCUUAGUGGAGUAAUAAUUCCCAAAAACAAACAAAAGAUAAAGGGUAAAAACGAUCGCUAAAAUAGGGUCCGGGUAACCAGCCCAUUAAUUCAAAUUGGGCUUAACUUAAGGCCCACGUGAAAUAAAUGGAAACUAGAAAAAAGGAAAGUUAUGUUAACUAAAAAAAGGAAACUAGGCGUUACAAAAAAAAAAAAGGAAAUCAGCCAGCUGGCACCGCCGUGAGUAGUGUUUUAUAAAAAGGGGAAAGCUUAUCAGAGAGAGUCAGAAUUUGUUUUGCCUUCUUCUUUCUCUGUUUGUCAUAUUUCUCUCGAUCGCUAUAUCAUAACAUCAUAACGGAAGACGAUUUGUAGAAUGUAAGAAUUCUUCCGAUUCUCUUGAUUUCUAGGGUUGUUUUAUAUUUUAACUAUUAAUCAGUUCUUUCUCUGUUUCGCAUGUUUCUCUCUAUCGGAUCAUUCAUGAUCGAAGAAGUUUUGUAGCGAUAAUCACUGUAAGAAUUCUUCUCUCUUGAUUUCUAGGGUUACUAAACUUCAUUAUUAUCAGUUUUUUUUUUUUGUUCUGUUCUUUUGGUUUUCUGUUCGUUUUGAAGCGGCUUGGAUAAUUUGAAAACCAAACGAAUCGCGACUCUGCGUUUCAAAGUUUUCUGAGAAUUAUUACAAGUUCGUUCUUCUUCUUUUUUUGUGUUACUUGAUUCUGUUUAAGAGGGUUUGGUUUCCGUUUUUUGUUUUGCUUUUGUAGCGCUUUCGAUACUUUGAUAAAGCGUGAAAUUGUUGCGAUCGGUUGUGGUUUAUUGCUCUGCGUUUUUCUGUUUUGUUUUUGUUAGAUUUCUUCCUUGUUUUGUUUUUUUUUCAAAAUCCAAGAGAGAUCAUAUGCAGACACUCAACUAUUAGUGUUCUGUCAGAUUCUUUCUUGGGGACAUUGUCCCGUCGAGUUGGCUUAUGAGGGAUUUUUGACCUGAGACUGAAAACCGAUCCUUUACCCACGGCUUAUUAUUUUGACAAAUAUACUUGGGAUUGGUUUCAGGUUACUGGUCAAAGAUCAAGUUACCCACGGCUUAAAAAAGUCUUUAGACAGAGACUUGAGUUUCCAAAAAACCAAUCCUUUAGACAAAACACUGGAUUGGGUUAUGUUUGGUGCAAGGAAAAUGGUACCAUACGGCUUAAAACUUUAGCCUUUAGACUGAGACUUGAGACUGAACAUUGAUCCUUCUUGGUACCCACGGCUUGAAAAUCUCUAGACAUAUGGAUCAUGUUCGGUUUCUUGUUUCAGUCUAUAGACAAAGAAAUAGUUACCCACGGCUUAAAAAAAGUCUUUAGACAGAGACUUGAGGUUCUAAAAACCAAUCCUUUCGACACAAGAUUGGAUUGGGUUAUGUUUGGUGGAAUGAAAAUGGUACCCACGGCUUCAAACUUUAGUCUUUAGACUGAGACUGAUUCUGAACUUUGAUCCCUUCUUGGUACCCACGGCUUUAAAAUCUUUAGACAUAUGGAUCAUGUUUGGUUUCUUGUUUCAGUCUUUAGACAAAGAACAGUUACCCACGGCUUAAAAAGUCUUUAGACAGAGACUUGAGGUUCUAAAAACCAAUCCUUUAGCCAAAAGAUUGGAUUGGGUUAUGUUUGGUGGGAUGAAAAUGGUACCCACGGCUUCAAAAUUUAGUCUUUAGACUGAGACUGAUUCUGAACACUGAUCCUUCUUGGUACCCACGGCUUGAAAAUCUCUAGACAAUAUGGAUCAUGUUCGGUUUCUUUUUUCAGUCUUUAGACAAAAAAAUAGUUACCCACGGCUUAAAAAUUGUCUUUAGACAGAGACUUGAGGUUCUAAAAACCAAUCCUUUAGACACAAGAUUGGAUUGGGUUAUGUUUGGUGGAAGGAAAAUGGUACCCACGGCUUCAAACUUUUGUCUUUAGACUGAGACUGAUUCUGAACUUUGAUCCCUUCUUGGUACCCACGGCUUGAAAAUCUUUAGACAUAUGGAUCAUGUUUGGUUUCUUGUUUCAGUCUUUAGACAAAGAACAGUUACCCACGGCUUAAAAAAGUCUUUAGACAGAGACUUAAGGUUCUAAAAACCAAUCCUUUAGCCAAAAGAUUGGAUUGGGUUAUGUUUGGUGGAAGGAAAAUGGUACCCACGGCUUCAAACAUAAGUCUUUAGACUGAGACUGAUUCUGAACAUUGAUCCUUCUUGGUACCCACGGCUUGAAAAUCUCUAGACAUAUGGAUCAUGUUCGGUUUCUUUUUUCAGUCUUUAGACAAAGAAACAGUUACCCACGGCUUAAAAAAGUCUUUAGACAGAGACUUAAGGUUCUAAAAACCAGUCCUUUAGACACAAGAUUGGAUUGGGAUAUGUUUGGUGGAAGGAAAAUGGUACCCACGGCUUCAAACUUUUGUCUUUAGACUGAGACUUAUUCUGAACAUUGAUCCCUUCUUGGUACCCACGGCUUGAAAUGUUUUAGACAUAUGGAUCAUGUUCGGUUUCUUGUUUCAGUCUUUAGACAAACAUCAAGUUACCCAUGGCUUAAAAAAGUCUUUAGACAGAGACUUGAGGUUCUAAAAACCAAUCCUUUAGACAAAAGAUUGGAUUGGAUCAUGUUUGGUUAAAGGAAAAUGGUACCCACGGCUUCAAACUUUAAUCUUUAGACUGAGACUGAGACUGAACAUUGAUCCUCCUUGGUACCCACGGCUUUAAAAUCACUAGACAUAUGGAUCAUGUUCGGUUUCUUGUUUCAGUCUUUAGACAACAGUUACACACGGCUUUAAAAAUGACGUCUUUAGACAGAGACUUGAGGGACAAAACACUGGAUUGGGUUAUGUUUGGUGCUAGGAAAAUGGUACCAUACGGCUUAAAACUUUAAGUCUUUAGACUGAGACUUGAGACUGAACAUUGAUCCUUCUUCGUACCCACGGCUUGAAAAUCACUAGACAUAUGGAUCAUGUUUGGUUUCUUGUUUCAGUCUUUAGAUAAAGAAACACCCACGGCUUAAAACAUUAUAAGUCUUUAGACAGAGACUUAUAAUUUUAAACAAUGGAAACUUGUAUAAUAAAUAUACAAGACGAUGUUAAUCUAACCGGAUUUUGGAUCCCGUCAUUGAUCGUUAGCGAUUCCACAAAUUCAACUUGUUUUCACAUCCUUAUGUAGAUUUAGCAUACAAGUUUCUGUUGAAAAAAAUAAAUACAAGAUUCUUAUGUUGGUUGAUGGAAAAUGGUACCCACAGCUUCAAACUUUGGACUGAGACUUGAGACUGAACAUUGAUCCUUCUUGGUACCCACGGCUUGAAAAUUUAUAGACAUAUGGAACAUGUUUGGUUUCUUUUUUCAGUCUUUAGAGUUUAGAGCAUCCACAAUGGUGCAUGUGGGAGUAUGGGUGUGAGUGGUGAUUUAUUAAUAAAAUAAUGUAAGGGUGUGAAGAUUGAGUGCUGAUUUAUUAAUAAAAUAAUGUGGGAGUAUGGGUGUGAGUGGUGAUUUUUCUAUGUCAAAAAAUCGGAACCAACAAAACAAAGACACAUGUCCCUCACAACCGAGUGUAAACUAACACUCGAAUACCAACUCCAAACUUACUGUUCUCUUAUUUGUGUAUAUUUUAAUAGUCACACCCACACAAAAAAUAGAUCGUUGUGUAUGGUCUUAGAGAAAGAAACAGUUACCUACGGAUUAAAAAAGUCUUUAGACAAAGACUUGAGGUUCGAAAUAACCAAUCCUUUAGACAAAAGAUUGGAUUGGGUUAUGUUUGGUUGAAGGGAAAUGGUACCCACGGCUUCAAACUUUAGUCUUUACUCUGAGGCUUGAGAUUCGAACAUUGAUCCUUCUUGGUACCCACGGCUUGAAAAUCUGUAGACAUAUGGAUCAUCUUCGGUUUAUUUUUUCAGUCUUUAGACAAAGAAAUAGUUACCCACGACUUAAAAAAGUCUUUAGGCAGAGACUUAAGGUUCUAAAAACCAAUCCUUUAGACACAAGAUUGGAUUGGGUUAUGUUUGGUGGAAGGAAAAUGGUACCCACGGCUUCAAACUUGGAAAAUGGUACCCACGGCUUCAAACUUUUGUCUUUAGACUGAGACUUAUUCUGAACAUUGAUCCCUUCUUGGUACCCACGGCUUGAAAUUUUUUAGACAUAUGGAUCAUGUUCGGUUUCUUGUUUCAGUCUUUAGACAAACAUCAAGUGACCCAUGGCUUAAAAAAGUCUUUAGACAGAGACUUGAGGUUCGAAAAAAGCAACCUUUAGACAAAAGAUUGGAUUGAGUUGUGUUUAGUGGAAUGAAAAUGAUACCCACGGCUUGAUCUACAAGAUGAUGUUAAACUAACCGGAUUUUGGAUCCUGUCAUUGAUCGUUAGCGAUUCCACAAAUUCAACUUGUUUUUGCAUCGUUACGUAGAUUUAGCAUACAAGAAUCCAUUGAAAACAAAAAACAUACAAGUUUCUUAUAUUUUAAGAAAAGAGUUCCAAUUUGUUUCCAUACGUUUAGUUACGAAGCUUGUAAAAGGGUUCGUAGAUGUGUGGAUUAGUGUACAAUUUGUAUGAAUACAUGGUUCAAUUUUUAAGAUUAGAAAGAUCAGUUAGGAUCAAAGGAAGAUUAAAGGGGAUAAUGGAAGAUUCAAGAUUGAAAGCAGAAAAGGAGAGGUCAAUCAAAAUAAAAGAAUAUAUGUUGCUCUUUUUGUUUGUUAUGGGAUCAGCCAAUCAAUAUUUCACCCACUUGCUAAUAUGUAAAAGACAGACAAAAAGAGUAACAGUGAAGAUGAUGGUUGUGAUGUAAUGAAAUCUAUGCCGUUUAAGAAAAGAGAGUAUCAAUUAGCUGAGCUUUGUAAACUAAGAAUGAACAAGUUCCAAAAUAAUUAGAUCCAAAAGAUCUUCCAAUGGAGCUUGGUUGUGAAAAUGCUAACUGAGAUUUCUCCAACAUGCACCCAUUGUUGCAAAAGCUUUCCCUGCGAUUUUAUACAAACAUACAAACAAAAUGUCACCAUAAUGUAUGAAUGUUUGUUCACCACGACAAUGGUUUUAGGUUCUUUACCUCGUGGUAUCGAGUAACCAUGUGGCUAUGCCUUUUCUUCUGUUAGAAGGUGAGACCCAAAUCGCUCUAAUCCCACAAACAGCCGGUUUAGCUUCUUCCUCGCAUACUAUUGCUCCGCAGUCUAAUCUAUCAUCUGAUGCUCGACAUCUUUUAGAUACUUCUCUUUGUAACACAAUGUUUCCAAACUGAAUGGAGGUUGAAGGCGAGGAGGUGCUCUCUUUUUGUAACUGUCUUUCAUCAUCAGGAGAAGGUAUGAGCUUAAAUGCUUCCUUAAUUGGUUCUGCAACUAGACAUCCAGAGAUCCUCUGAGAGGAUAUGAAUAGAUAAACCUACACAUAACAAGGUAGUUCUUGAAAUAACUGAGGAAAGUAAUUACAGGUUAUAUCAUCUUUCUUGUGAAUUUGUUGAAUGAUGCCAUAUAAAGAAAUUAAAGAAACUCCUCUUUUCAGGGAAUCAGAUUUCUUGUUUGAUUUCAAUGCUAGUCAUAGACAUGGAAGGAAUCAGACUAAGUCGAAGUUUUCCUCUUUUAAGUUGACCAUAGUAGAGCAAGUAUUCACCAUGCUUCCCAACAAGUUGUAUCAAAUGCCAAUUGGCUCAAUAUAGUAGACAUCAACAUACUAAAAAACACUCAUGAGCUAUGGAAUAUAUCCGCAAAUGACUGUUAAGACGUGGAAACAGGCUCAUACCUUACAAUGUUGGUGAAGAAUCCAAUCCUCACCUAACUCGACUUCCAUCAUUUUCACAACCUCUUGCACCUGCAAUUACAAAAGAUCCAUCGUUUAGGUCCUCUAAACGAAGAACCGGUACCAUAAACAGGGCAAGUUGAAUUGUGAAAAGAAUGGACCUUGUUUCUAUGUGCAGGGGAAUCAUUUUCUGAAACCAUAAUGAUGCGGUUCUUGUUGAACGAAGGCGAUGUGAACGCUUUCUCGUUCUGCCAACCCUGAGACCAAUUCAAAAAAAACAACAAUCAAUCUAAUAACCUCUACAAUAAUCAAAGAAACAGCUAUCUUCUUGAGCUUAAAAUGGGAUCCUAACCUUAAAAGGGAGUCCAUACAUAUAGUCCUUGUGAAAACUUUGAUGGUUCUUCUCGUCUAAUUCAUCUCCAGGAGCAUACUUAGCUCCACAUUGUGGGCAAUGUCUGAGAAGAAAAUCAGAUUGGCCCAACUCUAAGUGGAAUUGCGUAUAAUUGCGCUUCUUUUUGAGAUUUUUAGGUACAGAGGAAGAUCCUUUCUUCAGUGGCUUCCCGAUGCAUCCUUUAAGCACUUGACUUCUGAAUACCCAAAAAUAAGUGACACACAAACAGAAACCCAAUUAAUAAUGGCUGCAAGAUUAAAUCAAAGGGAUUUGCUUUAAGAAAACCCAGAAAAUCAGGGUCGCUUAUUUUCGAUUCAUCUGAAGAAAACAAAUAAUGUAGAAAUUCUCGAAGAACCUAAAGAGAAGAAAAACCGCCAAAGAUGAUCGAUUUACCUAUCGGGAAUCGCAGAUCGACGCUGGUAGGUGUUGACGAUGGCGUUCCGAUUGUUCUCCCAGACAGCUAAACCAUCGUCUGCGUCUGUUGUUACUGAGGCAGCGAUAGAAGAAGAAGAGGGCUUGAAGAAAGAAUUGAUUUUUGCUUGCAUCGUACAGAGAGAGCUCGAAUCCUUCUUAGGUCUGUGUUUGUUUUCCCCUUUACUUCUCUGAUUUUGGCGCCUAUGGAUUGAAUUUUUUGGCGCUAAUGAAAUUUUUUUGUUUUUUGCCGAUUCCUACCUAAACUUAUGUAAACCAAAGAAACCAGAAAAUGACAUUGGAUAAUUGAUGGGCCAUUUUGUGUAAUUGCAUAACUCAAGAUCAUUCCAAUUUAGUUCCAACGCCAUAAGUGGAAAAAUACGGCAUGUGAGGCCAGGAGACAAUUCAUUCGAGUCCAGAUUGUGAAUCAGUGUUGUGUUGUGAGAACAUUACAGCUUUGAUUUGAUGACGUCGAUUGAUGUUUGGAUAUCCAACUACAUUAGACAACGUCCAAAAUAAAAAAGAGCAGCAAGUGAAGUAUAGUUUGUGUGUGUUUUUUAUAUAAUUACAUGUAUGGAUUGGUGUAUAACAACAAUGUGUGCAUCGAUAUUAAUCUACGCUUUUCUUCUCCAUCUACUCCCUGUACUAUAUUUACCUCUUUCCUCUUCAAAAAGAGCCAAAAAAAGUAAGUGAGAAGCCGAUUCAUCAUCUGUCUGAUAACACCGAGUUGCUCCAUGACAACACAAAAUCUCGGAAAACAUUCGGUAAAUCUGCAUUCAAAACACAAGGAACCAAAUUCUUCAGAAUCAUACAAAACUACUUGCUAACUGCUAGCUAAAUCAAUGGCCCAAGGUGAAAUUUUUGCCCAUCGGUGCUUUCAUGUCUUGUUAUGUUAAGAAUGCAUAUCUGUGAUAGUCUUUUCUCUCCACAAGGCUUUAUUUGGUGCAAAAGCUUUUAUUAUUUGAAUGAUAGAUGAAGACAAAAUUAAAAGAAAGAAAGCAAAAUGGGGUUUUCCCUUUCUAUUACCUCGCACGACUUCCAUGGCCAGUGUGGGAAUAUCUACUUCGUCUUCAACCAAUCUGUAUACGUCCACAAGCUGAAAGAACAAAUGUAAAGUUAGUGCUUUAGAGUGUCAAUGGGGAUGAUAAGUGCUACAGAUAUAAAUCUGGUUGACGUGAGAUGUAUGAACAAACCUCUUCUACGUGAAGCUUCGAGUCCUCUGUGAGCGCAAGAAUAAGUUUCCUGCGGAUGCCUUCGUCAAGGAGGAAAAGACGAGCUCCGUCCUUAAUGGUAUCUGUCAAGUCAAGCUUACUCUCCCUGAAAGUUUCAUGAGUAAAAUACGGAUUUAGAAUUCAAGCUUCCCAGGGUGAACGAGUGAGAGAUUUUGGGAGCAAUGCUUAUAUAGAACUCGGUUACUUACACACGCUUUACUCGUAGAUUAGGAUUGCUACUCAUUUUGGCAACGUUUUCCUUUGCAAGUGAUAAAAGGUUUUCCAGCCUUUUCCAUUGGAAAACACCAUCUUUGAAUAGAACCUGAAAUGCGGUGGCAACAAGAGCUCUGAUUUCAGCUGAUGCGGAUAACAGUUCACCAUAGCAUAUAUGAAACUAAAUCAGAAUUAUCAAUCAACCUGUAUCAAGCGUUCCCGAAGUGCAGGAUUUGGAUCCGUUAGGAGCCGUUUUGCUACAUAUGGAUAAGCAACCUAGAUAAAAAGUUAGCUUUUAGUGUGGAAAGGGAAAUAUGGGUGAACAUAUAGCUAGUGUCUGCUCACUUCAGGAUUUACAUGUCAGCUAAAUCCUAAAUUUGAAAAGAAAAAAAUCAAAAUAUUAAACGUGACUUCACCUCUAGAAAUUUAAAAUCAGGCUUCAGCGUGAAACAUAUACCCUCCUGAGUAAGCAGAGAACGAAUAACAAGAGAGAACCGCUCCGGGAUACGGAUGGGAAAGUCGUACACAAGCUUGUUAAAUUGGCCUGCAAUGAAAAACGUGACACCAUUUCUUCAUAUGUGCAAGGGGUGCUCAGUAAACAAAAGAAACUUGCUUAAGGAAAGCAAUCUAUCAAGUACCUGUAACACUACGGAAAUUGAAAUCUGCAAGUCCUUUCCCUGCAGAGUUCUGCCAUAUGGCUUCUAAAGCUGGAACGAUAGGAGAAACAUCAGUAUCCUUGGCCAAGAACCCAAGCCUAGUGAAAUCAUUUGCCAUCUCCCCAUAGUCCUCAUUAACCGCAUGGACAACAGCAUCAAUCAAAAUUUGCUUGUUUUGCUGAGAAAAAAAAAAAGAUUUACUUUGGACUAUGAAUAACAAGUCUCUAUAUACAGAUGUGAUAAUCACUAUAGGAAGGGACAUAACCUAGCUACUAAAGGUUACUAGAUACCGUGGAACCAUUAAACUCAAGUUACCUGACUCAGUACAGCAACAUUACCGAAGUCCACAUAAGCAAUACGCCCAUCUUGCAUUGCAAAGAUAUUUCCAGGAUGUGGAUCUCCAUGGAACAAUCCAAAUUCUAACAGCUGCCUUAAAGCAGCACUUACGCCAACAGUCAAGAAUCCAUUUAAAUCAAUCCCCGCAUCCUUGAUGGCCUGAGUACAUUUAGUAAGAGUCAGUAUCAGAGUGGACUUUAAUUUUGACUUUUUAGGAGGGUAUAGAGGAAAUUUAUGUUGGCCCCCUUUUUGAAAGUCAACCUGUGGGUCAGUGCACCGAAUACCAUCAAUCCACUCCAUUACCAGAACCCGAGGACCACAAAGAUUCUUGUAUACUCCAGGAAUUUUGACUGUGGGGUCAUCUUUGAAGUUCUCCAGAAAGUCUUCAAUGUUUCUGGCUUCCUGUAGGCAAGAACUUAAGGUUAACCAGGAUUAUAUAAAGACUCAUCAUUUCAGAUCAUCAACACAGAAGAACGCAUAGAGUGAAAUUGAGAAGUAUAUGAGAUACCAAGGUGUAGUCAAGCUCCUCCAGAAGCUUUUCUCCAAAUUCAUCAACUAUUAGCUCUGCGUUGCAACCCAGUUUCUGUAGACUAAAGCCAUUUAAGAAUGAGGCGAGGGUUCGGAAAAGAAAGAGAUCCCGGUAAAUUAUGGGCUCUAUUUGUGGUCUCUGCACCUGCAUAUGCAUAAAAAAAAAAUGUCAAAUCCAACCUUUAAAACAGUUUCAGUUUGAUAAGCCUGUAUGAACUCUGUAGCCACAGUAUAAGUUUCCAUUUAGAAGAACCUUGAUAGCAACAUCCUCUCCAGUGGCACGUAGAGUAGCUCGAUAAACUUGUCCCAAGCUUGCAGCUGCUAUUGUUUCUGAAGAAAUCUUGCUAAAUAUGGCCUCAAGAGGUUGGCCUAACUCUUCCUCGAUGAUAUUGAAAGCAACCUACAAAGUCCUUCACCACUUAGCUUCACACGACAAUGGCAAAUGAUAAUAAGAAAAAUAUCUUGCUCUACAAAUUCCCCAAAAAGAUAAGACAUUUUACCUCGUUGGGGAAUGGAGGAACAUCAUCUUGGAGAAUGCAGAGCUCGUUCAUGUAGUCUUCACGGAUGAUAUCAGGCCUAUUUGCCAGAACCUGCCCCCCCCAUGUAACAGAUAUUAGAGAAGAUAACUUUGAGAACCCGGUUAAUGCCAUUUUCUAACAAAUAAGAUGGAUCCACAUACUUGUCCAGCUUUGAUAAAUGAAGGCCCCAAGUUGCACAAAAGGUUCCUAAGCUGGCGAGCACGAAAGGGGACAACUUCCUCGUCCCUUCCAACCAAAAAAUCAUACAUUAAGGUAGACCAAUACAACCCAAGAGUCCAAACAAUCUCCACACCCCUUGAAACUAGAGAGACGACUGCUCCUCUUGAUUCCAGCACUUUACUCCUCACCUGAUCACCAGUAAAUUCCAAUUCAAACAAUCAACAACAACAUAGAUUCCACCUAAGACACAAGACUCAAGUAAAUGCCAAGAAGAACCAGCUCAAUAAGUGAAUCAACAAAUUGCAACAGAGCUAAAAGAAAUUGAAAUUGACUGAAACUAACGCAUAAAUCGAGCUAGAAACAGAAACAGGUUAAAGAAGCAAAUCAUACAGUCUCCGGAGAAUACUUUCGGAAUGGAACGCAAACGCCUCGCUCGAUAUCCAGCUGCUCAAGCGCGGAGUUCGAUUUCCCUACUCGAAUACCUCUCUCCACCCCGCUCAUCGCCGUUGUCAUUACCGAAGCAUCCGUCGAAUUUCGACCACCAACAUCCGUCGCCGCCGCAGUAACUGAAAAAUUAGAAGUCCGUACAGCCGAGAACGUCCUGCUCCGCCGCAACUCCACGGCGUUGAGAGAUCGCAAAAGAGCAUCUCUCCGAUCAAGAAGAGCGCGAUUUAUUCUCCGAUGACGCUGAUUUAAGGAGAAAUUAGGGUUUACUAAACUAUUGCAGUGGAUUGACUCCAUGGAUGAUGAGCUACGGAGGAUGAUGAGCUACGGAGAAGCGAACAGUGGAUACGUUUCCGUUGGACGACAAACUAUUAAUUACCGAAAAUGGAAUAAAUCGACUACCAACCACAUAAGAUAAUAAUUAUUUUUUGUUUUUAUCUUUUAUUUCCUGGAAAGUAAAAGAACCUUAUCUUCAAAAAGCCACAAUAGAUGUAAUCUGUAGCAAAUCGACCCCAAAACUUUUUGUUGUUUCUUUCUACAUCCCACUUUUUUUUUUGUUGGUUUGUAUACGAUACGUGAUAGUAUUUGGCGUCAAGCAGAGAAGAAGCUGCGAUCGAGGAAAGUCUUGUGUGGCCAAGAAAGGUGCAACGUUUUGGCAACUAAACAAUACAUGUUCGUAUGGUAAUUGACUACUUACAAUUGAAUGAAUGAUAUUAUACCAACGGAUACUAAUAUUUAACAACAAAAUUACCAUUAUUAAUUUGAUAAUUAAAACUUUUUUUUUUUUUUUUUUUUUUUUUUUAAAUAUUUUAUUAAAACCACCCUAACGGGCUUGGGCCGAAGCCUACACACAAACCAAUCCAGUUACAAAAAGGUAAAUCGGCAUCUCGCCGGAAAAAGAAGAAAAGCUCGCCCCUUGUUGAUAGACGCUCGUAGAGCAACCGGAGCCUUAAAUCUGGCAGAUUCAAGACCCACCGCUUCGUGGCCGCGUCAGAAAAUCGACUACCACCGACGGAAGAAUCUGGUUUCCGUCAGAAGAGUCUCUCCUCCGACGCACCAACCCGCCACAAGCCUCCCAGAAAGCUAGUCACUCCAACGCAGCGCAUCGACGGAGUCGGAUCCCGACCUAGCAACCCGACCCACUGGGAGGUAACCCUUUUCUCCCAAAACCGGUAACACCAAAAAACCUGAAUCUUCACGCAUCGAUCCGGACCGGUGGAGACCAGAAGCGGCGGAUCUAGAGAACGUUGGCUCGCCGUGAACCUCUAAACCCGAACCCCGCAUCAGCCCUCUAAGAUCCAAACAGAUCCACAGCUAACCACCGCGUCGGACAACGAACCCCCCUUAUCCCCUCCAACUUCCGCCGUGGACGCAGCAACUAGAUCGACGGGUGAGCCUGAGGCGCAUUGCAGCAUCUCCCGGCGUCCUCAACCGCGAGACCACCGCUGCAAAACUCCUCAUCCGUCAGAACCAGGGCCACAACCACAUCAGAGAGGAAACACCACACCGCCGUUGACGGAGAUACGCUCCGACUCACUCCUGGACCGCCUUGGAGAAGCCUCGAACCGAAGAUUGAAGAGCAGAACGGAACGAAAGAACCCUAGAUCUGGUUGCCGGAAAUCGUCUUCAAGAGAGAGAGAAAUGCACAGCUAUCGAGGCAACGAUUGGGCCGUAUCUCUUGAUAAUUAAAACUUACUCGAAUCUUUUUUUAGGUUUUAUAACAAUGA